This 51809-nucleotide long non-coding RNA is filed under the name Setaria viridis. Its description in RNAcentral is "long non-coding RNA (SVIR_LNC002436)". The record is from RNAcentral. Lineage: Eukaryota; Viridiplantae; Streptophyta; Magnoliopsida; Poales; Poaceae.
UCCGUCGUCCGGGGAUGCCGUCGUGCUCCCUGGCCGGUCGGGCCUGCUGAUGAUGAUAUGAUUCGUUUUGGCGUGAGUCGAGUCCCCUGUUCGUGGCGCGUGUUGAGGGAUGUCGGUGGGCGUGUGUAUGUACGAGUCGGCGGCGGGUGGAGGUGUGCGCGCGUGUUGGAUACGUGCGUCGACGCGCCACUCUUUGUGGUGGAGAUCAUGUACCCGCUGCGCUUCUGUUUAUCAAUGAGAUGAUUUAUUUGAUUCUUUUCAUCUUAUAUACAAUAUACAUGAGAAUUGCGUAUUCAGUUUGUUGUGUUUUGCUCUGCAAACUUGCGAUGUGCAGAUUGUUGUAAAACACUGUCGAACGAUUCUCCCUCAAUCGAGUUCUUCCGUUGCAAAGAAAAAGAAAACGGUGCAUCUCUCUUAAAAAACGAUUACUAUUCUUACGACCUGAAAAUUAAGGGGUGCAGGCUACAGUUCAAACAUGUAAUUGGAAUCUGAAAUCGAUUUGACCGACUAAGGAACUCACCAUCUGAACUCUAAGCCCUUGUUUACUUCACCCCCAACUCCCAACUUUGGCACUAUGCAAAAAGAAGAUUCCCCAUCACAUCAAACUUGCGGUACAUGCAUGGAGUACUAAAUGUAGAUGAAAUUAAAAACUAAUUGCACAGUUGUUGUACUUUGCGAGAUGAAUCUUUUGAGCCUAAUUAGUCAAUGUUUGGACAAUAAUUCACAAAUACAAACGAAACGCUACAGUGUGCUACAGUGCUAGCACAGUAAUUUUACAUCUCCUAAUUUGACCAGCUAAACAAGGCCUAAGCAAAACGACCGGCAUAACGACUUUCAUUUAUGACCAACCAAUUCAGAAUUGACAAGCUUUAUUUUUCCUACCUCCCUCGAAAAGAAUGCUGUGGCACGGAGUCCUUGUGAAGUUCGUUAGGAGAUGCCGGGCCGGGGUUGCUUAAUCAGUUUGGUGAGGGAUCCGAACGUUGAAAUGAUUGAAGCAUGUUGGCGUCGCCACUUGCCAGCCAAGAAGCCAUGUGCUGCUCGUUAAGCACUGGUCCACAGAUGAGUUGUCUUGGUAGGGGCAGCCGUACCCGCUGUAUCACCGCUGGCAUGCUCCAAGCUGGAAAUGGUGAGCCGUCGCAAUCGCUGCAGUAUUACCCGACUAGUAUGUGCUUUAUGGAAUUGCAGGACUGCUUAAUUUUGACCGUGCUCGUGGAUUUAGAUGCUGGUCGAUGGCUCCAGCUCGAUGCCUUUUCCUACUGUACUGGCUACUGCCGACCGAGAGUCUCAGAGCGUGCAGAAUGCAGGUCGAGUUCCGCAAAGUUGUUGGCGUACACAGCUGGGGAUUGGGCCAGUGCCAGCUCUACACACCACUGGGCCACCUUUGUGUUUUCUCCGGCCUGCUUGAAAAUGUAUUGGGCCAGUUUGUUGGGCCGCUUACUUACAUCUGUGCUCAGCUAAAUCCAGCGAGAACAAUGGAAGAGUUUUUGGCUCUAUACAACAAAUCUUUUGGUUUUUUCCCCCCCUUUCUUUUUCAUCCACAUAAGACACCCACGAUGGCGUUUAUAUUUGUAAGAUAACUGAGUUGCAUUUUUAAGUGCCUCAUUUCUGGAUUAUCGGGCAGCUUCUGAAAGGAAGCUCCAAUUAUAGUAGACGAAGUAGAAGGUUUUUUUUUCGAUUCAAGACCUGGAACGUAGGUAGCUAGAGUCUACGCACUGCAGUUACAUACUGACAAAUUGCAAUGGCGAGUCGGCGACCGACAAGCAGAGGCCAGGCACAGCUGCGUCACAUGAACUCGCUCAUCAUGGCGAGCACCUGCGCCAUCGUGGGCCUCUCCUCCGGCGCCUCGGCGGUGCACAGCACGCCGAUCUUCACCAUCCCCAUCGUCUCCUCCCCUUCGCCGCCUUCCUCGCCGUCGGCGGCCUUGUGGUCCGUCACCACCUCCAGGAGCACCAUCCCGAAGCUGUACACGUCGGACUCCUGCGUCGCCCUCGCGCCCGCGCCCGACGCCAGCUCCGGCGCCGCGUACCCGUGCCACCCGACGCUCGCCGCUGGCGGGGCCGCCGACGACGUCGCGGUCGCCGCCCGGCCCAGGAACAGGUCCGGCGGGCACCGGGCGGCCUGCGGGACGACGGACUGCUGGAUGUUUGUGGCGUAGCGCAUGAGCCCGCACUCGGACACGCACGCGCCGCCGCGCUCGUCCAGGAGGAUGUUGGACGGCUUCACGUUCGCGUGCACAAGCGCCGGCCGCGCCGGGAACGUGUGGAUGUAGUUCAGGCCCUGCGCCGCGCCGAACAGUAUGCUCUUCCUCCCCGCCCAGUCCAGGCUCCUCGCGCCACCACCUGCAGCAACAACAACGGCCCGUCAGGAACACUCGCUUUCUUGCACCGACUGCAAAUUGGCAAUGCAUUUGGGAUUUCAUUAUCUCAUUUCAGCGCGACGACGCACCACUGGCUUGCAGAAGGGACUGGAGGCUCCCGUUGGGGAGGAAGUCGUAGACGAGGAGGCGCUCGCCGUUGGAGUUGCAGUACCCCCUGAGGCUGACGACGUGCCGGUGGCGGAGCCGGCCGACGAGCCGCAUGUGGCGGUCGAACGCCUUGCUCCGGCUGGCGGGGAACUGCAGCGCGCUCAGGCGCUUGACGGCCACCACGAUGCCGUCGUCGAGCACCGCCUUGUAGGUGCUCCCGGACACGCCCUUGCCGAGCACCUCGGCGGACGCCUUGAGGAGGCUCUCCAGCCGCAGCUCCUCGCCGCCCUCGAAGCAGACCAACCCGCCGCUCUUCUGGCACUUGUCGUCCCCGUUCGCCCUCUUCUCUUGCUCCUCGAAGGAGAGUGCCGCGUCGGAGGCGUCCUUCGCCGACCGGAGCUUCCUCCUCAUGUAGACGAACAUGGCCACGGAGAUGGCUAGCGAGACCGUGAUGAGCACUGCGUUGCCAAUGCCGGUGGCCAUGAGUGCAGUCAAGCUAAGCUUACUGAAACCUCCAUUGCUGGAACUGGAAGGCACACUACCACUAACGUUCACUGCAGCACCAGGAGAUUGAGCAGCGAUACUGGUGGUAGCAUUGGAAGAACUAUCCGAUCCUAACGCAUUAUAAGCACGAACACAUCUUGGCAGAGGCGUGCCACAGAGAGCGAGAUUGCCGCCGAAAGUCGACCUCGGGAACCUGGACAGAUCGCCGGAGAUCUCCCCAGCGAGCUUGUUCCCGGACACGUUCAAGCUCCUGAGCGACGGGGCGCGCAGCGCCUCCAGGCCUCCACGGAAGCCAUUGUGCUCCGCUCUAAGCGUGAGCAGAGCACCCAGCGAGAUGUUCAGGCUCCCGGUGAGCCGGUUGCGGGCGACGAGCAGGUGCCGCAGCCACGGGCUCGCCGUGGCGUCGUCCAGCGGGGGGAGGGCGCCGGACAGGGAGUUGUUCCUGACGGCGAGCGCCCUGAUAUGGCUGAGCCGCAGGAGCGGCGCCACCUCGCCGGCCAGCGAGGCGCCGUCGAGGAAGACCCCCACCACCCUGCCCCUGGAGCACCUGAUCCCGAACCACGUGCCGGAGCACGGGUUGGGGCCGUGCCAGGUCGCCAGGGCCGUGGCGUUCGGGUUGUAGGACUUGAAGGAGAGCAGCGCGGGCAGGUCCUGGUGGCCGCCAUUGCCGACCUCUCCGUGCACAGAAGGUACCGAUAGGUGGUAGACGAGGACGGCGAGGAGCAGGAAGGUGGAAUGGUGGAAACGAGGCAUUUUGGUAGCUGUAAGAAUUUUCUUCUGUGUUUGACCGAGAAAUCUAUCCACUCGUUUUAUAGCACGGGCCGGUAACAAUUCAGCGCGGGGAAGUAGAAAAUUUUGAAUGGCGCACGAGCACAAAGGCGUGGAACGACGACGAGCAGAGGGGUCCAAAGAGGAAAGCUGGGUACCUGCGCCGACGUCGUGGGUGGGUGUCGAUGCUGAGGUCGUGGGGAGGAGGGUGGAGGUGAAAAGCGGCGCCAUGGAGGACAGGAGGAGAGGUCCAAGGGGAUGGGGAGCUGACGAGGUGCCCUUUUUCCUCCCUUGGGCAGAAGGAACUUGGACGUAUCUGGUGGGCUGCACGUAGCCGUGAUGGUCGUCGCGCCGGGGAGAUGCUGGUGCUCGCUUCGCUUUACGGAAGCGGCCGAAAGGAAGCAAGAGGGCUCGGGGUUCCACGGCGCGUGGUGGAGUAUCGGGUUCACGAGACGAGACGGGAGUAGCGAGUGGGGACGUUGGCGUCAGGUGGCGCCACGCACCGGUAGGGGAGCAGACAGGAAUGGAUUCCAGCUUCACGUUGCACUAGUCCCCCAGAGUCACAGUGAACCCGGAACACUGAACUGGGUUCAGGUGUCGGGGCAUCUAUUGUUGGGUCCGUUCGUGCUGUGGGCCGAGCCAGGUCUUGCCACCCGAUCCAGCCCAGUAACCGGAGUAGCCAAGAUUUUGUUGGGGCGUCGGGUUCAAACUUCAAAUUGGCAGGUGGAGACGCUUCCAAACGGGUUCAUAGUGAGUCAUUGCUACUGGUACUACGGAGGACUAGGAAGGUUAAUUAUCAUUAUGAACAGUGUUAGUUAGCACCGUCGUCUGAAUGAAAGGUCAUGACAUGCUCGUGAAACCUCGAUUCUAAUGUAUGCGCGCAGUUUUUGGUAUAUCAACUCAGAACUCGACUGGUGGUGUGGUGAGCACAAAAAUGCAUCUUGUUUUUUUUUCCCACUAAGGGCUACGUCCAAAUUUCAUUACUGUUUAGGCAAUGAAAUUACAGAGUAUGAGAGUUGUCGACACCAUGGUCACACCAGAGAUUACAAAAGCAUCUCCAGGAGGACAGGUGCAGACGGCCUUUCCACCUGGGAGGAAUAAAGCGAGCCUACUUAUUACAUGACACAGAACUAACAGCAUGCUAAACAUCUCACAGCCAACCAAACUAGGAACAUUUCUCAACCAGCCUCCAAAGUUGCUUUGAGCAUCACACUGUAUCCAGACUUCCUGGCUUGAUUUGGGACAGCACUUCUUCUCUUUUUUACUGCAGCAGUACCAUCCCUGUGUCGUCGGUUGUUGCUUCACGGGGGUGAAAGUGCAACGCCGUCGCCUUCAUUGCAUCAGCGCCAGCCUCCAGGAUCGUCCUCCCCUCCGGCUUAUGAAGACCUGCUCAAUAUGAAAUGAAAACAGAUGCUGAACAUAUAAUCUCUGAAGGAGAUUUGACCUAUUUUUUAUCAAAGCAAGCAGCAUUUCUAGCUUUCCAGAGUGCCCAGCAGACCGCUGACAGCCCCACCACAUGGAUGUUUUUGUUUUGUGACAUAUACUAUCUAGUCCAUUCCCAAAAUUGGGCAAAGGUAGUUGGUCUACAUGGAGCACCAAUUACCAUGGCAAUAAGGCUCCAUACAUACCUAGCCAAGGCAUAUCCAAAGAAAAGGUGUUUCGAUGUUUUCUUCCAUAUGACAGAAACAACAGCUUUUGUCCCCCUGCCAGUUGCGUUUUAUAAGGUUGUCUUUAGUCAGAAUAGCAUCUUUUUGGAUUAACCACAUAAAGAUUUUUAUCUUCAAAGGGAUUUUGGCUUUCCAAAUAUUGUCAUGAGGACUGGGUAUAGACUACCGCCUCAUCAUCGACACAUCGAACAACGAUGGCAAGGAUGCCAAGUACGAGGCGGUGGUUCAUGAGAAAAACUGGGGAGACCAAAUCACUCUCUUGUCCUUUAAGCGAGCAGACUCUCAGCAACAAUUGGCAUGAGCAUGUUAAUCACUCUCUUGUCCUUUAAGGAUGCCAAUGAUUUGUAGUAGGGUUGCCACCUUGAUUAAUGCUUAUCACUACUUGCUCUACAACUAUUGCAUUUUGUGUUUACUCCAUUUAGCGUCCUUUCGUUACGCCUUGCUUAAUGCUUAUCACUACUUGCUCUACAACUGCUGCAUUUUGUGUUUACUCCAUUUAGCGUCCUUUUGUUAAUCGUUGAAAUGGCGUGGUAGCUGCUGCGUAAUGCGUAUCAUGUAAUUUGGCAUCUCCAAUAUAAAUGGGAUUUUCAGCCUAAAUAAAAUGUGAUUGGGAAAUUUGGCUUCCCACUUUUGUACAUGAUGCAAACGGUCAUAUACAUGCACACACAAUUACAAAUACACGCACGCUAGUUCGAUCUUCAAGUUUAAUAUAGUUUCAGCUGUUCAAACAUUGGAUUGAACAUGACCGAUCCAUUUGAAAGUAGAUUGCUUUCAAACACAAAACGUGGAUUGCGUUAAAUAUUUUUAUUAGACAUAUUAGGAAUGUAAAAGUCAAAUUUAUAAUAAUUUAACCAAACAUUAGUCAAAUUCUAUAAAUCCUCAGUAUAAAAGUUAUAUGGAUGAAUUCAAAUAUGAAAUAUCUUACUUCUAUACAUCUAAUAGUAUAUUGUAAUAGAAACUAUAUCAGUCAAUAUAUAUCUAUAAAUAUUUUCAAAUCAUCAUGUGCCUACUAAAAACAAACAAAGUUAAUGUUAUGGUUGUGAUUUUAUUGCUACAAAUAUUACUAGUAUUAUAAGAGCAUCUGCAGCAGUCUCCCAAUAAAUAUUUCCCAAUAACUAGUUAAUAGGGAUAUUCCAAUAUCACUUUCAUCGUUAUUGGGAGAGUUGCUUUUGCAGUCUCCCAAUAAUUUCAUCCCAAUCCAACUACCGUAUUGAGAGAGUUACAACUCCUUUAUUUAGGGAGAGUUGGGAUGAAUUAUUGGGUUGUCCCAAUAAUUAUUGGGAAAAGGGAAAGUUAAAGGAAGACUGUUGGAACACUAUUUUCUUAUCAACUCUCUCAAUAUGAUAGUUGGAUUGAGGAAAGGGAGAUUGCUAAAGAUGCUCUAAUAAGCUAUGUAUUCAAAACAAAGUGGUCAUGCGGGUAUUAGAGUUGUGAUCCGAAAUAACGGCAGGAAAAUUCUGUUAUCUGCAUGGCGAGUCAUUUUUUAUGCAGUGAGCGUACAGGAAGUGGAGGCAUUGGCAUGCAAAGAAGGGUGGCCCUUGAAGGGAGCCCGCGAUCUUAGAGUUAGACUGCAGUGCGGUCAUUCACUAAAUCAAGGAAGCGAGUAAGAUGAUACUAGCUAGCAUAAUUUUUCACGGUCUAGAAGGCUAAGCGCCUAGCGGAAAGUCUCCCAUGUCUCGUUUUGAGUCAUGUAAAGAGAUAGCAGAACGUAGUCGCACAUGAGCUUGCGAAGCAAAUCGCAAUGUAGUGUGGUGUGAUCAUCCCCCACUUAUAUGAGCAUUUGAUUGCUCAUGCCUGUAAAUUUUUUUUUGAGCAAUCAAUAAAGCGCUCUCUCUUUUUUAAAAAAAAAUUUGCAAAGAAAGAGACUACGAAUCAAAGUUGGAGAAUGUGACGAGUCAAAGCAUAUUGUGAAAUGGAGGCAGCAAAAUCCUAACGCUUCCUGUCGCAUCGACGUUCGAGCUCUGUGUACUUAAUUGAUUGCCACGUAGAAGCCGAAGAGUGCAGCGUCGAUUCAACUGGCGCGCGUCUAGACCCUAUAAAAGGACGGGGUUUCCAAGGCAGCACUGCACCGAUGCUUGCUCUGCACCAGCAAAGGCAGUCAAACUAACAGUACGCCGGGCACCGGAAGAUCGAUCGACCAGGCAUGUCGCCGCCGCCGGAGCAGGACAGGAGGCUUGGCGUCGUCAAGCCGGAGCCCGAUCCCAUGAUCAAGCUCAAGGUGCUGGACAACGAGGGUCGCAGGGUCUUCCACUCCAUGAGGAUGUCCGACAAGCUCCAGGCGGUCAUGGAUGCGUACUACGCGAAGGCGCCCGACGUGACCUACGGCUCCGGGACCUUCAUGUUCGAUGGAUCCAUCCGGCUGCGGGGCAGCGAGACGCCGGCGGAGCACGGUCUGCAAGAUGACGACGUGAUCGACUCCUACGAGGACCUGGUGGGCGGCGGACGGGACGACGCCUGAUGCACCGGACCGGCGGCUGAUCGAUCGAUGGCCGCGCGAGUACGUCGUAGCAGUCGUUUAAUGGAUGUCGUUAUAUUAUCAUUCGCCAGUCAUCACUAGUCUCCAAUUAUUACAAAGACGUAUCAUCUACUAGGAUUCAUCUUUCUACUAUACAUGCAAGGUGGAUCCAAUAUGUUCUCUUGAAACUUUGUUAUUGAUGCAUCUUCACAGUUUACCUGCUGAAUUCAACUGUCAAAACUUUUCUAAGGCCCCGUUUGGAUCAUUGGAAUUGAAUUCCAUCCUAAUAAUCAUAAUUUAGACACAAAUUAAUUAAACUAAUAUAAUUGUAUGUGGAAUAUAGUUGUAUAUUAUAGUUGGUGAUAUGGGAGAGAUACUUGUAUGCUGCACUUCUACUAUAGAGAAGCGAGUCUAAGAGCGUGCUAUAAGAAUUGAAUUCCAUUCUAAUAACCAUAAUCUAUAGAAUCAAUUUCCAUCUCCCACCCCAUGAAUUUAAAAUAGGCUUAUAUCUAAACUUUGGAAAGUUGUGGAAUGCCACAUUCCAACAUAAAUUAGCCUACUCCAUUAAAUAGAUUCCAAUUCCUUGGACCCAAACGGGGCCUAAGCGAAAUGAAGCGUUCGUGGUAUAGCACUUGGAUCAUCCACGGCCCGAUGAUCGAUUGCCCAGGCGGCUGAGAUCUCUUUAGUCGUCUAGAGCUCACGGGGGAAUUCCGAAGAUGCGUUCGGGGCAUUCGAUAGCUUAGCCGCGUCCUGGUACGUCAUGAUUCAUGAACAGUUUGAUCUGGUAAAUUAUGAUUUCAUUGAAGACAUUGCCGUUCCAUUUUCUAUUGAUGAAUUUUUUUAUUAAUCUUCUCGUAAAAAGUUUUUGACGAGGCACUUUAUGCGAUCCAUUGCUUACGAUAUACAUCAAGUUCAACAAAGUGGUUUGGCCUUUUUUUUAGAUAUGCAAAAUAUAAAUCUAUUGAUGCAACUUUGAGACAUGAAAACAUAUAAUUUGACUACUCUUGGAGUAAAACCUACAAAUUAAAGUAUUGACUAUUUGAUACACCCUACGUAAAGAAACAGAGUAAGCAAUGCACGUCAAGCAGACAAAUGAUACGAUCAAGUUCAACAAAUUAAAGUGGUUAGUGGUGAGAAGCAGAUUUUGGUAGGCAUAUACUUCCGUCUCAUCAUCGAUGCGUCGAACAACAAUGGCACGGAUGGCAAGUAUGAGGCGGUGGUGCACGAGAUGGAUUGGGGAGAAAAACUCUCCCUUGAGUCCUUUUAAGUCGGCUAAUUGAUCUACAAUUAGAAUGACCGUCUUAAUGCAAUUAUCCUAAAUAAUGAUGUCAAGGUGUAUUUUCAUGCCUUUGGAUUUUUUUAUGGUUAUAUACAAUUGUCUCAGGAAGCUUGUGCCUCAAGCAUGUCUCUCUCCUAGGAGUAGAUCACUGCCUCACUGGAGACCACAAGAUCAUAGAGCUUCCGACUAAAGUGAGCAGUUUCUUCGAGCUUCUGAGUUCACCAGAAAGAGCGAGGUUGCUACUAAAGGGAGCAGUUUCUUCGAGCUUCUGACUAAAUCGAUCCAAAAUUAUGUCAAACAAUUUCCACUAAAUUACAAGAUAACUAUAUAUUGCAGGAGCUGAUGUGAUAUGAAUCCACUAAAUCACUUCCAAGUUGUAUUUGAACAAACUGUCCAUCGGUUUCCAUCCAUUUCGCCGGAAUACAAGCUCUUAUUAGUAAGGGCUGCAUGCAAGGACUGUCUUAAUUUUUUGCUGUAAGGUAAAACUAGUUGUCAAUUAAUUUCAGGCCAAUCAUUUUCUACUAAAAAUUGCAAGAUACUACUUAAUUUGACACAUCCAAUUAAUAUUUUCCAAAUUGUAUCGAACACCCUGUCCAUCAGCCAUUUGUUGGCAACGUCACGAGGCUAAGUGCUAUUAAAUGCCUCAGUCGUGUCUCCAAUCUUCAGCAAAAACUAUGAACCUGCCAAUCUUGUUAGUACUUCAAUAGACUUCCUCGAUUCUAAAUUAUAGUUCACUUUAGCGUUGUUCUAAACCAAACUAUUCUCUCUGACUAAAUGUAUAGAAAAAUAGAACAAUAUCUACUAUCAGCAUAUUUCUUAGCAGAUUCAAUGAAACUAUAAUUUGACGUUAUAGAUCUUAAUGCCUUUUUUAUGAACUUGAUCAAAGUUAAAGAGAUUUGACUCAGAACAAUACUCGUAUAUACUACUUACAUUUUAAAAGAAGUAUAAAAUAAAGUAGUUAUUGUAAUGAAUGUAAAAUAAGCUUAGAAGAAACCUCAAUGACCAAAUUGGGACUGCAGAAAGUACUUUCUCCACCCUAUUACUGGCUCCGCACGCACAAGAGAAACAAAAGCACGAGCUUGUGGCCAUUAUUCAAACAAUAAAAUUAGCACUAGUCACUUGGAGAGAAACCGGCAAAACAUCCAGAAAUAUACCACACAUAGGGGUGGUAAUGGAUCAUGCCUCCUUCACAAUCCAACUCAACCCUAUUUAUUUUUAGUUCAAAAUCAUAUAUUAUUAUAGCCCGAUACAUAUUGAGCAUGAUCCUUAAAUUUGCUAAGUUAAAUUAGAGGGCCCUUUACCACACCUAACCACGCCACAAGAACAAAAUUCAACAAGCUGUUGGUAACUCGGUACUCUACCGGUUGGAUACAAAACAAUAUUAAAAACUGCUGCUACUAAUAUUCUCUUAAUGAAAUACAUGCACGUUUAUAAAAAAAAUGACUCACAUGACCCUCCUAAACCUAGAGAACAGACUCGAUUGAAACUAAUCGGGAACCUAAUAAUAGUGAGCACAGUCACUGGCAUGUAAAUAAACUAAGUAGAGCUGUAUAUCUAGAUAUUGAGGUAGUUCUUGAUGGACUCCUCGAACUCCUUGACGACGGCUUUCCAUCCGGCAUGGGUCGGGUUGAUGUCGUCCCAGUAGAAGAACUUGUCCGGCUUGGACCCCAGGCUGUACUGCGGCUCACCGUCCUGCACCUGCCCGCAGAACCCGCUCCGGUCGAAGCUCUCGCAGCACGACUCCAGCCUGUACUUGAACUGCUUCGAUCGCGGCGACGGGCCCGCGUAGUGGCUGAAUGCGGCUUUCAGGUCGAGGUUGAAGACGGCCUCGUCCUGGAACACCUUCUCCUCGAGGUACGAGUUGUGGAUGCUCGCCACCUUCUGGCUGUCGCACUUGGCAUCGUAGACGCCGUCCUCGGACCUCGACAGCCACGGCGUGCACCCGAGCGGGGGCAGCGAGGUCACCACCACCUUCUCGACGCCCAGGUCCAUCAGCUGGUCCACGGCGUCGGCGAUCUUGUCCGUCACCUCCUGGGCCUUGGCCUUCACCUCCGUGCUGGUCAUGUCGUUGAAGCGCUCGUAGUCGCGCCUGCCGGAGAAGGCGAUGAGCGCGACGGAGUCCGUGAGGUCCUCGUCGAUGAUGCCGAGCCUGACCAGCCUCUUGAACUUGUCCACCUGCCUGCCGAGCCUGGGCGCGUCGCUCGUCCCCUCCACCACGCCGGCGCCGCCGACGGCGAAGUUCAUGCCGGACGGAUCGACGCCGUCCUGCUUCCUCUUACUCUCCGCCGGAGGGGACUCCUUCCGCCCCAGAAUCCUCGCUGCACAAAUUAUGUAUUGAUGAGACAGGGCCAGGAUUUAGAAUAUUAAGUACUGAUCCGAGCUUAUUAUUACGUACCGAAGAAAUCAGAGAGGACCAAGCCGUUGGAGAAGCGGCCGCUUGGAGUGGCGCCGUGCUCCUUGUCGUUGCUGCCGUACGGGUAGUACCAUGCGCGCGUCGUCUUGGUCAGGUCUGCUAGCGGGAAGUUGCCGGCGUCGGCGAACUCGUCGCCGAACACGAACAGCUUAUACCGCCGGCCCGAGUCGCUGUCGCGAUGGCGUCGGGACUCCACAUGAGCAGCUGCUAACAACAACGUUAAUUAAAGCUCCGAUCCGAGAGCAGAACAAUGCACGACAGCAAGUAAACCACCUGGAGAAAUUAGCAAGAACAAGCAGAACAACACAUACCGUUCAGCAGGAGUAGGAGGCCGCAGACGGCGGCGAAAAGAAGCUUCAUGCUGGCUGGUUCCUUGGAUUUCGAUCGAAGGCGAGUUGCGCGGGGCGCGGGUGUUGAGGUGAGUCAAUUGCUGAGUCGUGGUGCCAGGACGACGGCGAGCGUCGCAAUUUAUACACGGGAGAUCGAGUUCCGAGUCCUACUGGGGGUGGGGGAGGCGCGCUUGUUUGCCCAGUCCGCCGCCGACUGUAACUCGUUUCCAAGCCUAGCUGGUACACUGACGAACAACAAGUCAGAAAGCCGACGAUUCCUGCUCGGAGUUGGCGGGUUGGCGGGCCUUUUCUCUCUAGGAUCUCACCAGGCCUCAAAAUACCCGGGCCAGUACAGCAGAAGAGGCCCAUCGCUACCACCCCAAUACAUGCAUACGACCAGCGUUCACUAAUGGGCCCCAUCCCUGUCUGCACGGACGACGAUAGAAGUUGGCCCGAAAUCAACACGGCUGGGCCUGGGCUGUGCAUCACAGAACCCUUUUUUUCUUUGGCGACGAACAAAACCCCUCGCCACUACUACUUAGCCACGCAUGAUGAUGAUGAAUUUACGUUUGAUGAUUGCUUGUUGAUCAAUCAGUCGAUCGAUCGAUCUGCGGAGUACUCUGACGGAAGGAAAGCUAACCCUCUCCGCCGGCGCCGGCGCCACCGCAAUGUGGUUCACCUCCCGUCGCAAACCCAACGCCGCCGAACCUUCCGAGGAUGCACCGUCGUCCUCCUCGCCACGCAGCUCGCAACCCCGCGGCUACUCCCUCCGCAUCUCAUCCUCCAACCCCUGCCCCCAAACCCAGAGCUCCCGCGACGGAGCCCUAGCCUCCGCCACCUCCUCCUCCGCCGCCGCCUGCGACCUCGGCGGCGGAUGGGGGAACUCCGUAGGCCGCGGCGGCGGCGGCUUCCUGUGGUGGAUCUUCUCCGCCGGAGCGGCGCGCGCGGACGAGGGGAAGCCGGCGGGGGCCGACUGGGACGCGCACGGGCUCCCGGUCACGCGCACACCGGUGCCGCUCUCCAGGCUCGACGGGAGGAAGCGGUACAAGGUCUCCGAGCUCAACUUCCUUGACUGCCGCGCCCGGGACCGCGCCAGCGCCCGGGACCGCGCCAGCGCCGCGGAGAAGAACCCCUUGUUCGACGACAUGGCCAAGCUGCGCCCCGGCGGCGUGUACACCCGGUCGCAGCUGCUCGGGCAGCUCCAGGCGAUGACCUCCUCCGGCAUGUUCGAGCAGGUCAGCCUCCAAGGGAAGCCCAAGCCGGACGGCACGCUCGCGCUCACCGUCACCUACGCCGAGAACAUCUGGCCUGGAGCCACCAAACGGCUCAAGUGCGUCAACGUUGGACUCAUGGCGCCGCCCGACGCUGGCCCUGCUGAGGACAUGACGGCGAGGGAGAAGAUGGAUUACAUCCGGAGGCAGGACCAUGACUACCGGCAGCGAAUCCGCAGCGCCAAGCGGUGCAUUCUACCGGAGUCUGUGCGCGAGGAGGUGCUGGGGAUGGUGAAGAAGCAGGGGAAGUUGACCGCCGGGGUGCUGCAAAGGAUGAGGGACCGCGUCGAGAAGUGGUACCACGACGAGGGCUUUGUGUUCGCCCUGGUGCAGAACUUCGGGAACCUCGACACCGACGAGGUUGUGUUGGAGGUGGUAGAGGGGGACAUCACCAUGGUGGAGUACCAGUUUCAGGACAAGCUUGACAAUAUCGUCGAGGGGAACACUCACAUCGCUGUCGUUGACCGGGAGCUGCCCCAGCAGGUAUGUAUAUAUAUAUAGGCAAUUUUCCUUACUACAUCAACAUCAGUUCCAUGGUUAAUUAACAUGUUCUGUUCGAGAUGUCUAUGGAUGAAUUGUUGUUUAAUGUGCCACGAGUUGAUUGGUUCGAUGUAUUCUAUUACGAUUCUCAAACACAUUUACUCUGACCUGAUAUGCUUUCUUGCAACCAUGUAAUUUACCUUCUGCCUUUCUUACACUGUGCAGCUUCGACCUGGCCAUAUCUAUAACAUUGGGGCAGGGAAACAAGCUCUGAAGCAUAUCAAUUCACUCGCUUUAUUCUCCAAUAUAGAAGUGAACCCUCGCCCUGACGAGACAAAAGAAGGGGGUGUAGUGGUUGAAAUAAAACUCAAGGAACAUGAACCAAAGUCGGCCGAAGUAACUACAGAGUGGAGCAUUGUACCUGUGCAUCAAGGGAGACCAACUCUUGUAAGGCACCACUUAUUUGUAACCUUUUUUCCUUCUUCUCUGCAGAAUCUGUACCUUGAAUGAUAGAAAACAUCAUAAAUAUAUAACCGCCAAUCAUUAUAAAUCCAUGUUUCACAACCCAUCUCACGGAAACUUUCUUUUUAGGCAUCAAUUCAACCUGGAGGAACUGUGUCAUUUGAGCACCGCAACAUCUCUGGUUUAAACAGAUCUCUUGUCGGUUCUGUUACUUCCAGCAACCUGCUCAAUCCUCAGGUGAGUUGGUACUGAGUUCUUUUAUUGAAAACAGAAGCUUUGAUGCAAUGUUGCUUUGGUUUACAAUUACAUCUACAUUCGCUCUGAUCUGCUUGUACUAAAUUAGCUGAAUUGUCACUUAUAACCGUCUCAGUCUUCCUUUGUAACUAUAUGUUUCGAGUCAUAUUUCAAUUAUCAUUAUUACAUGAAGUGUGGAACUCAGUUGAGUGUCUUCUGCAUUGAAAUGUGAAACAUUGCAGACUUUAAUUGCCAUUCUGCUGCAAUCUGAAAUAAGUAAAUAAAAUUAUACCCUUGUUUCAUGAUUUAAAAACAUUUAGUUUAUAAAAUGUACUGGUAUGGUUUACAAGGCAUAUGUUUCAUUUUUAACUGAUCCGUUAUAUUUGUAUUUACGGCAUGUUUCUUUUGGGAUAUCAGGAUCAUCUCUCAUUCAAGCUUGAGUAUGCCCAUCCUUAUUUGGAUGGUGUGGACGACCGUAGUAGAAACCGCACCUUCAAAGCUAGCUGCUUCAACGUCAGGAAAUUAAGUCCUGUCUUUGUUGCUGGCCCCAACAUGGAUGACGCUCCACCUAUCUGGGUUGAUAGAGUUGGAAUUAAAGCCACUAUAACAGAGGUUUGCACAGAUUGAUAUUACCUUCUUCAUCUUUUGAUUUUCAUAAAUAUCUACUCCCAAGAUAUAUUUUUAACAUGAGGAAACUGCAUUUGGAAAUUUUUUCAGAGCUUUACAAGGCAGAGCAAAUUCACUUAUGGCCUCGUGUUGGAAGAGAUUAAAACACGCGAUGAAGAUAACAACAUAUGCACACAUGGUUCUCGAGUAUUGCCUAUUGGUGCAUUGAACAUGGAUGGACCUCCCACAACCUUCAGUGGUACCGGUGUAGAUCGAAUGGCAUUUCUACAAGCUAAUAUAACUCGAGACAAUACUGAGUUUGUAAACGGGGCAACUAUUGGUGACAGAUGUAUAUUCCAGGUGGGGUGUUUUGUUCUCAGUGAAUUUUCAAUUGUUGCUGGGUGUUUAAAACCAAAUUGACUGCACUGUGCCAAAAGGAGAAAGCCAGCUCCUUACACAACUGAUGUUUCUGUUUUCGUAUGAGGCUGCUGCACAAUGCAUAAUGCUGACUGUUUAGGCACAUUUUAGCAAAUGUUAUCAUUACAAUUUUUUUAGAAUCAAGGUAUUCUUGUUUAUGUUAUAAUUGCUUUUCAGUUAUAUUUUAAAUAUCUGGGUUAGUUCUUGUUUAACAGCAUCAUGUGUUUAUAGAAAGUUCUCCAUGGUAAAGUAAAUCCACUUAUAAUUUUCUUGUGGGCCGCAGUUGGACCAAGGUCUUGGCAUUGGAAGCAAAAAUCCAUUCUUCAACCGUCAUCAGCUUUCAGCGACAAAGUUCAUUAAUUUGAAUAAGCAAGAUAAAGGUGCUGGCAAGCCACCACCAGCAAUUUUGGCGAUUCAUGGUCGCUACGCAGGCUGUGUAGGAGAUCUGCCGAGCUAUGAUGCAUUUGCAAUCGGAGGACCUCACUCUGUUAGGGGCUAUGGCAUGGGAGAACUGGGUGCUUCCAGGAAUCUUCUUGAGGUGAGCAUCAAACUAUCGAUCCUCAGGGGGAUUUGGCACUUACUCUGAAUCAUGAUGCAUAGUUGUUAUCGCUGUUCAUGUCGUAGUCGUGGAGGUUUUGCUUUUCUUCGGAUUUGUUUUGAAUCUUAUAUCCAUGCAGUUUGCCACUGAGUUGCGUGUCCCCAUCACUGUGAAGAACAAACAAACGCAGGUGUAUGUAUUUGCUGAGCAUGGCACUGACCUCGGGAGUUCCAAGGACGUGAAGGGCAACCCUACAGAGUUCUUCCGACGCGCAGGCUCUGGGUCCUCCUAUGGCAUUGGUGUCAAGCUCGGCACGGUAAGGGCGGAGUACGCUGUAGAUCACAAUGCUGGUACGGGAGCCUUCUUCCUGAGAUUUGGCGAAAGAUUCUGAAGGCCGCGUCUCUGUCCAGCUUGACGAUCAGAAAGCCCUAUGUAAAUUCGACUGCCAACUUUCUAGAAUAAAAUUAACUCGUGAAGAUAUAACGUCACUGAAUCUUGUAGCAGCAAGGCCCGCGUUAUGAAUGGUUGAGAGUAAAGUCAGAUUCAACUGGAAUAAGAGUUUCGUUUUGAUGGAAGGAUGUCAUUGUACUCUCUUCCUCCGUGGAACUGUACUAGAUGGUAGUCUCGGAGUAUUAUCUUGAACUUGGUAACUAAACCUAUUGAGUGUUAGGAGGAUAAAACUCUUCUCUCAAACUAGAACUUGUGCAUUCACGAUGCAUCCGACAGCUUGCAUCUGUCAGGUGCACGAGAGCACCAGAUGUACUCGGAGCACCCGAUCUUCUCUUACAUCAUUUUUUAAUCUAAAUUGCACAAAUUUGAUAAAUUUGGGCUUUGGGUGAUUUCGAAAUUGCUAUCGCAUUUUCUAGAAUUUAAAAAGUUAUGAUUUAAUCAAAAAUUCAUAACUAACUUAUUUCAAAUCUAAAAAAUAUGAAGUUGGUACAAAAUUUUUCUAAAAAUGUAGGCUAUUUGUUCAUACUCUAUUUGAAAUUGUUUACAUCAUAUUUGUUACUAAACCUAGUGUUAUAUUGUUUUUAAUAAAACACAAGGAACAUGAACAAUCUAGUUUUAAAUAAUGCUAAAUAGUACACCAACAGAUAGUUUACAUUUUUAGAAAAAUUUUGGCACCAAUUUAAUAUUUUUCUGAUUUGAAAUGAAUUAGUUAUGAACUUUUUAAUUAGAUCUAAACUUUUUAAAUUUCUAAAAAAUUGCAAACCACUCCUAAAACUAUCCAAAUGGCUAAAUUUAUCCGGUUUUGACAUAUGAAUGGCCCUCCGUGUCCAGUUUUGUAGUUGUCAGUAUAGACAUGUGUCACAUCACUUUAUUAAUGAAGUAAAAAUUCCUACAAAACCUUCGCUGCAAAUGGCCUUACCGCCUCCCGAUUAUCACCGUUUGUUGUUACCUUUUUCUUUUCCAUUGCUAUGUUUGUCCUCCUCGCCUUUGUGCUCCCCACGUUAGGUGAAUUUUCAAACCUUUAAGGCUAAGAUUGGGAGCCCUUUGUUUUCUCAUUUUUUUAAAACAAAAGAAGAAGAAAAUGAAAAGCGGCUUUACCUGCACAACUGCAGUUUUGGCUAGAAUUUACUCCUAUGUCGAGUAAUUGCUCAUGUAGUGUCGCGGCAUCUUCCAUCGCUUCGACUCCUAUGCAUUAACGCAUGGGAACGCAGCAAUCGGAAAGUUCAGUCUUGAGUGCGGCUGCCUUGGACGGUGCAGGGUGGAGAGCGGGGAGGCUUUGCAUGCAUGGAGUUAAUUAUUAAUGGGCUAAUGGCCGCCUAACCUUCUCCGUUCUGCUUGUGAUAAAACUGAAUCGGCGGCGCAUGCCGGACACCCGUUAUAUAGACCAAACAUGCUUAUGACUAAAAUAAGCUGAAGCUGAAACUAGUAGCCAAACGGUAUACUUUUUUCAGCUUCUUCUGUCUGCGCUUCUCUCCACAGGUUCCAUUUGUUUUCCUAUAUUAGUACAGUUUAUUUGAGAAGCAGCUCCCGCAGCAGUACCGUCGUAACCACACGCCCGGCGGAAAGCCUGGGAAAGCAUAGUACCAGCAAAGGAGUCGCCGGAGCCGCCCGCGAUGACGAAGUACGUCACGCUCUCCGUCCGGGACGAAGAGUACCGCGAGAUCACCCGCACCAUGCGCACGACCGACAAGCUGCACACCCUCAUCGAUUUCUACUACGACAUGGUGCCCGCCGUCGCGUACGGCGAGGGGGCCUUCCUGCACCGCGGCGAGCCGGUCGACAGGAUGAAGACGCCGGCGGACUACGGGAUGCGCGAUAGGGACGAGCUCGCCUUCUCGUCGCAGAUCGACUCGAGCACGUUCCUCACGCUGACCGUGCGGGAAGAGGAAGGGCUCGGGUCCUUCUCCCUCACCUUGCGAACGACCGACCAGCUGCGGGACCUGAUGGACUUCUGCUACGAGAUGGUGCCCACCGUCGACUACGGCGACGGGGUCUUCCUGUUCAACGGCAGGCGGGUUAAAGGCCACCGGACUCCGGAGGAGCUCGGUAUGGUGGAUGGCGAUUGGAUCGGUGUUACUUUCAGAGUUCGUUACUGAACGUCGUCGGGCUGCUUCCGCUGAACCGGCACCGCCCGUAUGUUGCUGCACUUUUCGUUGUGUAAGCAGCUGCUACUUGCGUGCAUCUAAAUUUCACGCAUCUUUUGUUCCAAAAUUUAUCGAUAUCCAUGAAUCGAUCCCUCUCACUCAUCUCACCGUGCUUAUGAUGUACUGAAAUAUGUCAUGGUUACCUAUUCUAGAGUAUCGAGUUUAAAGCCAAAAAAUAUGUAGUAUGUCAAUGUGACUUGAAGUGACAUGAUUCAACACUUUACACAAAAGCAUGGUCGUGCAACUUGAUUGAAUUGAUUCACAUUUUGUGAACAAAAACUAAUUCAACAAUUUCAAUGACCUGAUCUAGCGUUUUGUUAAACUAAUCGAUUCAACAUUUUAUAUCAAACUGUUUAGAAUGUUGAACUAGCGCGCUCAAACUUCUGAACUUCCUACGAUCGGAUCGGCCCAACCACAGCCCUAAACGGUCCGGCCCAGGGCGGCCUCGGUCGGUUGCCCUCUCGCCCAGCACGGGACCAUACCCGGUGCAGCGAAUAGGGUAUCCUCCCGCCGCCGCACUCUCUUCGUCCCGGAUCGAUCCCCAUUCCAUUCCCCACCCGGCUCCAGCACGGAACUUUCCUCUCUCUAGGGUUCCCCCCCUAUCCCCCUCGAGUCUCGACCGUACCAGGUAAAUUACAGGUCCACCCGUCCCGCGUUCGGUCCGAUCCCGUGAUUCGAGCCUUCGCGCAUCGAUCCGGGACUCUUCCGCCCGCAAAUUUCCCCGCGGCGGAGUUUCGCGGCCUCUUUGUAUUUGGGCCAUUCGAGUUGAUUAUUUUGGAGGAUUGAGUGUGCGUUGUUAGAUUUUUUGUGCGACGACUGCGGUGUGUUAAUUGGAGGUUGAAAGAAUUGUAGCUGUUUUGAGGCGGCAAGCGAGUGCUGCAGAAGCAUCACAUCUGCGCCGAGGCAUGGAUAAGGAGCUCUUCGCCAACGACGGCUCCUUCAUGGAGAGGUUCAAGCAGAUGCAGCAGGAGAUGCAGGAGAAGGAGAAGGCCGCUGCUACUGAAGCCUCAUCGGCUCCCAAGCACGGGAGCUCCAAGCCGGGGUUUGCUGUUGCGGCGAACAAGAGGCCGUUCGAGCUGAAGAAGGCUGGUCCAGUCGCCACGGGCGGGAAGCUGGCCUUUAGCCUGAAGAAGGCCAAGGUCGCGGUCGCCCCUAUUUUUGCGGCCGACGAAGAGGAAGAGGAUGUGGAGAGGGAGGAGCCUGCCAAGCGCCACAAGUCUGUGCAAGCUGAUGCUCCUGUGGCAGCUACCCCGGCAGGGGCUGUUGGUAAUCAUUUAUUUAUUAAUUCAUUCAUUCAUUUAUUGCUGUUAUAAUAUAAAAAAUUAUUAGUGGUUUCCCAUUCUUUGGAUUUUUUGUUGGCGUUCUGUGGGUGUAGUUGCUAUCAAAUGAUAAGAUAGAAAUAUGCGACAAGAAUUUUAAUUCAAUAAUUGUCCUAGAACAUCAGCUAUAUAUUGCCUCUUAUCUUUUUUGCUUUUGAAUUCAUUCCCCAUAUAUGUGACAUAUCAUAGGUUUUACUCUUGAGAUGACUUCUAAUUUGGUAUCCCAUACCCCAAUUAAUACCACCGACACAUAUGGUUAUAUUGUCAUUUUUUAAUACAUUUUUCUGUUCCAUGCAUUUGAGGGUGUUAUCCUGAGUCCUGACAGUAUUGCAUUCAUAUUGAUAGUGAAACGAACUAACUAGAUACUUUUUAUUUCAUUUGUCACAUACUGAUUUAACUAGAAAGUAGCACUGCGUUGCAUAUGCAUUUUUAGUGAAAUUAUUACUUGUAGGACUGCUUGGAUGUCAAGUAUAUUUUGGUUUCGUAUGGUUUCUAUAAUAUGUCAUAGCAUAAAAACUUUUAGGUGUUGGUAUACAACUAACAGUGUACAAAUGUAGUAUUCCAACCACCAUGUUAUUUUGGAGUUUAUGAAGGAAACCCAUUAAACACCUCUUUUUCCUAAAAAGUAAACACGAGGCAUGCUACGAUUUCCCUUUCUCACCACAUGCGAAGUAUUUAGCAUUCCUGUCUAAUUUCAUGCAGUACUAUCAGUAAACACAUUCCUAAUGUGACUAAUCUGAAUUGCAUACAUUCAUUUUGGAUUGUUCACAGUAUUACUUUAGCCUUUUUUUAUCUCCAUAUAUAUAAAGUAUUGUUAUAAUUAGCCUACCCCAACUUGCUUGGAACUGAAAGGCUAUGUUGUUGUUGUUGUUAUUGUUAUAAUCAAAGCUAACUGCAUUCAAAUAGGCAAAUAGUAUGUAUGUAUGUAUCAUGCUUUAUUUAGUUUUCCUCUGUUGGAUAGUUCUUCUAUAUACUGUAGAAAAUGGUGGUUUUCACAAUUUAUGUUGUUUCAGUUCCCAUGUAUUAAAAAUAUGGUUUUCAAAAACUCUGCUUUGAAAUGUUCCUGACAUCAAAACACAUCCUUAUAGUAUUGAUUUCAUGCAUUUACAAAUGAUAAAAAUGGAUCUAGAAAGCAACAAAUUGCAAUGCACAUUGGUGUUGGAAUCGACCAUCUAACAGUGUUUAAUAAUUUUUUAAAACUAUCCAAGAAAAUUGCUUGCUGUUGCACAACGUGAUUUAAACCCUCCGUUUAUGCUUGGCUCAUACGUUGUUAGGUUUACAAAAGAAACAUCUUUCUCAGUGUUUGGGUUCAUUAUAAGUCAGGCAGCAGAAAGUCGUGAAGGUUUUGUUUUUUUUUUCCGAUAACUGCAGCUUAUAGAUGAACUGUAUUGGCAUUGCCAGGAAGGAUAUGAUUGAAAGAGUUGGAGACUCUACUGCAGUAAUUUGCAUUGCCUUGUCAAUAUGCUUGAUAUUAAUAGUUCUUUAAGUGACAUGCAGCCCCACCCCCACCAAAUGAUAUGACAGUGAAGCAAGUUGCUGACAAAUUGGCAAGUUUUGUUGCAAAAAAUGGGAGACAAUUUGAGAAUAUCACACGGCAGAGGAAUCCUGGAGAUACACCAUUCAAGUACGACUGCACUACUUAUUUUUCUGAUAAACUCUGUUUUACUUUUAAAUUCUAAAAUCUGACUUUAAUAAAUUAUUGAUAUAAAUCUUGGGUUAUUUGCAGAUUUCUAUUUGACAAACACUGUCCAGACUACAAAUAUUAUGAGUUUCAGCUUGCUGAAGAGGAAAAGGCUCUUGGUCAGUCAAAGGAUGCUGAAGCAUCAAAAAAUGGUUUGUGGCACAAUUUUUUUAAUCAUUUUCUAUAUCUAAAAGUUCUAUAAAAGUCUUGAUGCUAUAUACUCUUGUUAAUGUAGCUAGUUCUAGCACUGCAAGCUUCAAAGCACCAAGUGGUCCGUAUAAAAGCUCAUUUGAACAAAAGUCCAACUAUCAGACACCUGCAUCAGCUUUGUAUGGGGCAUAUGAGGGUAGUUCUUCCCAAGGAAGCUCAUCUAGUUAUGGUAAAAUAUACAUACAUGGUUUCCUUUAUCAAAUGUUAUAUAUCUACAUUCUCUAUGUUCCUGGACUGUUCGCCUGUUUACAUUUGUUUGAGUUUGCAUUUUGCAAGUCAUCCAAAUCAGGCACUUCUAUUGCCUUAGUAUCUUAUUGUUAUUUCUGAUGUCUUGAAUAUUAUGUUUCAUCCUUGUAGCUUCAAUGAAUAGAUAUAUUGUAGGGUUUCUGUUGUGAACCAUUAAAACCCUACUGCCUGUCAUCUCCCUGAUCUAUAGUUUGCUUUAGGAGUAAAAACCAUUGCUUCCUAUCUUGAACUGUUUCUUGUUAUUAUAUGUGCUUAAUGCUAGUUCAUCAUUUUGCAGGUGAUCACAAUACAUCUGCACCGUCAGAUCCUGUAGCUUUGAUGGAAUUCUAUGCGAAGAAGGCUGCACAGGAAGAACGGAAGAGGCCACUAAGACAGUCAAAAGAUGAAAUGCCGCCACCUCCUUCUCUUCAAGGUACAUUUUUUGCAACAUGAUUUGCCGUACUGGAAGAACAUAAAAACUUCAAUAUUUGUUCUACAACUAAAAAUUCUUGUUUUGCAGGUCCUCCUAAGAAGGGACACCACAUGGGUGACUUCAUUCCUCAAGAAGAACUUGAAAAGUUCAUGGCACGCUGUAAUGAUGCUGAAGCACAAAAGGCUACGAAAGAAGCUGCCGAGAAGGCUAAGAUUCAGGCAGACAAUAUUGGCCACAAACUUCUAUCUAAGAUGGGUUGGAGGGAAGGUCAGUCAUUGAUGAAUACUAAAUAACAUAGUCACCAUUACAGUAAUUCUCUGAUCAAACCCUGUCAGAUCUUUUUUUCAAAGUCCCAGAUGUUUAUGGCAACAGUACAUCAACCCCUCUGACCUUGACCGUCAUAUUCAUCCAACAAACCUUAAAAAAUUGUCAAAUUAUGCUGUUAACAAAGCCUUCCAUCCCAAAUACCAGAUAUAAGAACUAUUUACAAUGGAUCCUUUUUCCUCAGCAUUGUCCUGCAUGCAUUAAUUCUCAAUAUCCCUACCCGGUGGAACCUUUUUUGUCAGGCACAUAGGAAGGCAAUUAGCGAUAAUAUGCACCAUUCCACUUCCAGGUGUUAAAUAUAAUUUACUGUGCAGGUGAGGGUCUUGGUAGUGAGAGAAGAGGCCGUGCGGAUCCCAUUAUGGCUGGAGAUGUGAAGAAGGAUCAUCUUGGUGUUGGUGCUGUCAAGCCUGGUGAGGUCACAUCUGAAGAUGACAUCUACGAGCAAUACAAGAAGAGAAUGAUGCUUGGAUACCGCUAUAGGCCAAACCCUCUGGUAUAUUUGCUGCCAUUGUCUACUUCCAGGAGUUGUAUGUUAUUUCUGUUUGCCUAAACACUUCUGCUAUUUUUGCAGAACAAUCCAAGGAAACAAUAUUACUGAUACAGGUUAGUUCAUCUAAGAUGUAAGACACCAAUUUUGCUGUAUUUUUGCUCACAUAACUAACAGCUAGGGAGUAUGACUAACAGCAUUGAAAGUUUUUGUUCAUCAGCAGAAAAACUAAGAAGCUCAUUUAGUCAGCAUAUAUCUUGGAAUGCCACAGAUCUGAGGCUUACGGGGGGUUCAACCGUAGCUUUGUUCUUUGUGUAGUGUUGAUCUUUGUUGCUUUAAAUUCACUUCCAUGGUGAUGUGUUGAAACGUGGAGCAUAGUUUCAUAAUGUGAUGUAUUGCCUUCUUGGAUGACAACAUAUCUUUCCUGAUUAUUCAUCUUUUUGUUGGGAUUUAUUGCCGCAAUAUCAUAUUUCCAUACUGGGAGGCAUAAUCUAAAAGUCUGUUGCAAUGGUUCUAUUUUAUUCUGGAUUCUGGAAUUUGAAUAGCUAUGUGGAACGUGAGUGUCGGUACGGAAGCUAUUACUUACUGGCAGCAUAUAACUUGGCGUUAUUUCUGUAGGAGUUAAAAUUCUGUUAUGCUCUCUGCCACUCUGAUGUGCUGAAUUAAUGGGUUACUUUGAUUGUGAUCUAAGCGCUUAUGGCCUGAUGGGCUAAUCUUAUUACACGGUUUUAUUGCAUAGUUACUUAGAUUGAAAACUAGGUAAUAGUGCUAGAUGAGUGUUAUGGGGAUUAAACUCAUUUCUUGUUUGAUGAAACUAUCUUUAUUCAUUACCUUGCCAAGUUAGGUCUCGUUCGUUUCAUCAGGAUUGGAUUCCAGCCAGGAUUACUUCCAGGUCCGGUUUGAGUGAUUCCACCCGUGUCACUCAAUCCGGCCAGGAUUCAUUCCAGGGGUGAGGAGUUAUGGUUUCAAUCCAGGCCAUCUAAUGUAGUAGGAUUCCAAUCCAGAUCGGUUUUCGUUCCAGGCAAGACUAAAACGAACAACACUUUCAAUGCAAGUCUGGUUUCAAACCGGACCAAUUCAAACCACCCGGAAUGAACCUCAUUCCGGGCCAAUCCGUGAAAACGAACAGGCCUUAGCAAUUUUGGUGUGGCAUGAACUCUCGUGAAACAGACUGACCUUACUGUUAUGCUCUCUGCCUCUCGGUCUCGGAUGUGCUGCAUUAAUGGGUGACGUUGAUUGGAAACCACAGUAAGGGAGACAUAAAUUUAUAUUUUAGGAAAAUAUCGUAAAGUUUGCACAAGCGUAUCUAUUACUCUAUAUUAAUGUUGCUAGACUAGACGAAAUCUCAGAGGCUGAGCUACUGUUCACCGACGCUGGUACGUGGGUCCGAAAUCCAAUCAGUUAUGAAAAAAAAAAAAAGAAGAAGAUUCGAGAGUCCACAGGUCUCGGUCCUCCACGACCACGAAGAAUCGGCGAACUCCAUUUGCCUAGCCGCACCUAUCGCCGUUGGUCCGCUCCGCACGCUGGGGCCGCCGGCUCGCUCCGGCGCCCGCUCCCUCGACCGGCGGAUCGCGCCGCCGCCCGCUCGAGCAGCCGCAUGCGCCGCCCGGUGGGAAUGUGAGAGCACAUCAGCAACCACCGGCGGCCGUCAACACCACUUGAAUCUUGGCAUGGAGAGAGAGAAAGAGAGAACAGAGCUGUGCAGCGCAAAAGUCUGGACAACCAACCGAAUCAGGCCACCGGCGUCGGCUCUGCCAUUGCUUCCACCGAUAGACUUCCAGAGCAGUCUGCCACCGUGGCCUCUCACUACCCUCUCUAGAGCAACCAGCAGCCGUGGCUCCGCGCUCACCGAGCCCAAAAAUGAUGGCCUUCUAGCUGCAGGCAAGACCUCAAUCCGCAGGAAUCAAAUUCACUCUCCAAGUCUUUGUAGCUUUUGUGGAUGGAUGGGGGAGAGAGAGAGAGAGAUUGCCAUGGGGAUGACCGGAUGACUAGAUGAAGGGAUAAAGGGCACAGUGCACUUAAAAAAGAAAGAAAAUAGGCCUUUUAGACGCUUUCCUCACUGGCUUUUUACAAAACAGGAGGGGAUCCCUUACUAAUUACUAUAUUAAGCAAAACAAAGAGAAAGUAUGUACAAAAGAAAAGAUAUUUAGCGAAUGAAAGAAAAAUUACAGCAGAGUAUGCAACCGUCGUACUUCAAUGGGAAAAUAGGAUUUCUUUGCUAAAUAAUGAUUCAGAGCAAAUAAAUGCAUAAAAAUCUCUUUCAUCUAGAGGAACGGCAUGAAUUUGAAUUCUGGUUUCAUUCUGAUUUGUUUCCUAAUUUUGUUCAAUACUCAAUACUAUAAUAUAUACUUAUAGCAAAGUAGAGAGAUUACAUAUGUAACUCUUUCCGUUAUUGCUUUGAGUUAAUAUUUUUGUACAGGCGCGCAUCGCGCGCCAAUCUAUCUAGCAUGGCACUUGGUGAGAUACGAAAGUUGACAAGUAGGGCCCAUUCUUGCCCCCCUUGUCUCACCAUCUCGUAUCUCGCGGCUGGCUCACUUGAACUACCAUGUGCUGGGCACCUGAAGCUGAAAUGCUGAAAGCGAAGCGCCCGCCGCCCGCAGCGAUCAGAGCGCCGGUACAGGAAUCUCUCACGCAGUCACGCUGCUGAUCGCCUCCCUCCCCAGUCCUCACUGAUUGCGCUUUGCCUCUGGCCCGGCCGGGGCCCCGGGCCUCAUGCAUGUCCAGUCACGCCCACCAAACGGAACGCAGCCAUCUUUUUGUAAUAAGCACCAAGUUGGCGGCGUUAACAAUGCGGGAUAAUCCGCUGGAUCAUCAUCGGGGACGCUGGCCUGGUUUGAUGACCUGGACGAAUAUCAUCGAGCUACCAAUCUUGGAAGAGAAGUCUGGAGGCGCAUGCUGUCGGGUGUCAGCCUGUCUCCACCGCUGGCCGCCUCGCUGUCAGCUGUACUGCACUGCACCCGGUCACUCAUUCACUGGCCGGUAGGCAAGCUUGAGGCUCAAGUAGCCGCCAUAAGCCUCCAUUGAGUACUCCUGCCAGCAUCACUGCCCAGACCUCCAGAUUUGUGGAGUGACGGUAGUAGCAGGUUACUUCUGGUAGGAAAUCGAAACCAUUCAGGACCAACGCCUGUCCGCUGGCGACAACGAAAAGCCGUUAUGGCGAGCGAUCGAUCCUGGUCUGGUUACAGUUAAGCGCGCCUCGGGUGUUAGGAUACCCCAUGCUAAAGUUUAGCACAUGUCACAUCGGAUGUUUGAUGCUAAUUAGGAGUAUUAAACAUAGGCUAAUUACAAAACUAAUUGCACAAAUAGAGUCUAAUUCAUAAGACGAAUCUAUUAAGCCUAAUUAGUCCAUGAUUUGACAAUGUAGUGCUACAGUAACUAUUUGCUAAUGAUGGAUUAAUUAGGUUUAAUAGAUUCAUCUCGCGAAAUAGCAUAGGGGUUUUGCAAUUAGUUUUAUAAUUAGUUCAUAUUUAGUCCUCCUAAUUAGCAUCCGAACAUCCGAUGUAACACUGCUAAAGUUUAGCAUCCAGUAUCAAACACCCGUCGUCGGUCUGACUGCUCCGAACGUUGUCGUUCCACCGGCCCCGAGAUCAUUCCCGGCUGCCUCGCAGCUGUGCGCGCGCUGGCGACCGCCUACCGGCCGCCAUGAUACGAGCCGCGCCGCGGACGUCAGGUUCGGCCGCUCGUCUCGUGGCGGCCGGUGGAGACUGGAGAGGUGACCUCGAGACAAACCAAUCCAGGAGGCCGCGGUGGUUGGCCACUCGCGAUCCGACCCGCGCGGGUCCCCCCGUGAAGUUCCCCCUUCGAGAUCGCGAGCCAAAAAUAUCGCAUCCCCGGCCGGCCGGCCCAGCUCCAACCUCCAACAGGAAGCAAAAAAAAAUCAACGGGCUUGUGGCGGUCGCGGUCUCGGGGAUCCGUCGGCCGGAGCGGCCGAACGAUCGCGUGUGGCGGCACGCCGCGCCGGGGACAUGAGGCGUCGGGCCGCGUGGAAGUGGAGGCGUGCGUGCUCAUAAAUGAGCACGCCUAGAAGCGGCCAGGAGUCCAGGACGGCGUGGUCGUCGUGUCACGGGCACUGCGCGCACGCCAGUGCCGUCCAUCACGUACCGUCGGCCGUGCGUUCUCUUUGCAGCGGCACGGUUUGGACACCGGAGGAAGUACGUGACAGGAUUUGGCAUGCGACCACUCGCACCGUACUUUGUAAAAAAGAUCAAGUAGCGUGGCGCAUUUCGGUUCCAGGCUUGGAUUACUCGCCGAGAUAGGCCGGGUGACAAGAUUAGGCUAGCUAGGGUAUGAAUGAGUGGUCGCAUUUUUCACUUUAUGGGUUUUUUAGAUCGCUUCCAGUUCAAAUUAUUCGUGAACCGAUCUAUGGACCGUCGAGAAGUUCAAACUGGAUUCCGAAGUAUUCGAAUCCAAAUCUCGGCGUGGCCGUGACCGUGACCAAACAGCCCAAGUGGGCGAGCUGCUGCUGCUGACCCGGCCGCGCAACCGCCUCCACAUGACCCAUCUCAUCUCAGGCUCUCCGCGGCUGGCACCCCACGUGCCGGCGCUGGCCUGACACCUUGGCGCAUGGGCGCGGCGCCCACCCGGCCAGCUCCGGUUGGGUACACCCGGUCCUUGCUUGACGGUGGAACAAAAACACGGCCGGCCCGGCAGCGUACGCGCUGCUGAUAAAAAGGCUAGCGACCGGGUAAAUUGUCGCGGCAUUUUGUCGGGUUAGACCGGCGCACCGUAGAUCGGUUCAUGGACCCCUGGUGACCUAGCGUCAUAGCUCGUCAUUUAGACAUAGGCAAAAGAAGAUCUUCAUAGAAGAAUGUGUUAGAAAAACGGAAAAACUCCAUCCUUAUUAGUCACUUGGGAAGCGUGCUACGACAAAUAAAAAAGAUGGCAAGCGACAGAUAAAAAGGGACGGAGAGAGUAUACGGUAACAGAGAUGCAUGCUGUUAUGUUUAUUUUACUACACUAUACCUAUCAAGAUCUUUAUAACAUUUUCGGAGUAAUAAAUGUAACCCUUAUUUUCUAGCUACCAGGUGACUCCUAAAUUUCGAACACAUAUUGUUAUAUUGUUGUACAAGGUUCAUUUUGCUCUUAUGAACCUACAUUGCAAAUUACAAUAGGGAUUUAUGUGUGAUUGUAUGACUUACGGACACAUGCACCAAAGAUUAUUCGAGCCAGUGAUGACCGAACUCACUUGGAUGAGAUGCAAGGGGAAAGAUGAAGUUAUGUUUUGGGGAUUACACCAAGUGUCGUUGUACGGACGAUGUAAACGGCUCCGUGCAGUUUUUUUUCUUUGGCACAAAGGCAUCAUUUUGUCAUAGAUAAAAUAAGUGUUUGUUUAAUUCAAGGGUAUGCAGCCUCAACAUUUACCUUGGUUCGUAAGGAUUUUGAUUCAGUUCCAUUCCUGUGAAUGCUUCUUUUUGUUCGAAAAAUUAAAAUGCAGAUAUCGUGCUUAGGAAGAAUACCGGACGGCUGGCAGUAACAAAUCAUACAGUAUUUGCCUUCUAUAAAGGCAGCUGGAGACUGUUCUCCGAAAUAAAUCAUAGCGGCUUAGGAGUGUUUGAUACGAGGCGCUAAACUUCAGCAGGUCAUAUCGGAUGUUUGGAUACUAAUUAUAAAGGUCAAACACGAGCUAAUUACAAAACUAAUUGCACAGAUGGAGUCUAAUUCGCAAGACGAAUCUAUUAAAGCUAAUUAAUCCAUCAUUAGCAAAUAGUUACUGUAGCACCACAUUACCAAAUUAUGAACUAAUUAGACUUAAUAGAUUCAUCUCACGAAUUAGACUCCAUCUGUACAAUUAGUUUUGUAAUUAGACUAUAUUUAAUAAUUUAUAAUUUGUAUUAAACAUGCCAUAUGACAGGUACGGGUAUCCAAACACCUCCUCUCCUUUCCUCUUGGUAUGUUUAGCAGUUACCCCUGGCGAAGCCGUUUCGUCGACGUGCCGUGGUUUAACGGACGGGACGGGGACGGCCGGCUCACGUGAACAACGCCCACGAGGCCGCGCUGGCUCUUGUAAAAGCAACCGCUCCCUCCCUAGACGCUAGUGCCUCUUUCCUCUCUCCUCCGCCCCUUUUUAUCGCCCGAUCUCACACAUUUUGGAAAGAGGAGAGAGAGAGAACGCCCAGCCAAACAGCCAAGGAAACAAACCGCGGCGAGAGGCGGAGGAGAGGGAGGAAGGAGGGCAGAGGACGAGCAAGAUGAGAGAGAUCAUCAGCAUCCACAUCGGCCAGGCCGGGAUCCAGGUCGGAAACGCCUGCUGGGAGCUCUACUGCCUGGAGCACGGCAUCGAGGCCGAUGGCACCAUGCCCAGGUGAGUGACGAUCUCGAUCCGCGAGUGCGUUGCUUUUGGUUCCCCAAAUUUUUUGCUGCGUGCAUCCGCCUCGCGAUCUAGGUUCUCGGCUUGGGCCGCCUCGAAAAUCUGGCGGUCUCGUUGCAUCUCCUCGUUGUUUCCUUCUUCUCGAGAAAUCCUUGCUUCGGCGGAGCCAACGAUGGGCGGGCGGGUGGGUAUGUUAGAUUGGAUGGUACUGUCAUGGCAGUUCCGUGUUCGUGUCUUCCUUUUCGUUCUACUUCUCGUUGCUCCUUGGCUCCUUGUAAUGGGUUUUUUUGGGUGGGAUAUGUUGCGCUUUGUUGGGCGUUGGUACAUUUCUUUGCCGGUUGUUGAGAGAUUCCCAGCACCGGACGAGAUGCGACAUUUCCUAAUUAAGAGUCUGCCCUAGCAUUUUCGGACUAUUAGGCCUUUAAUUUGGUGCGUUUGUUCUGUUCCUACUAAUUAGGCAGGCGUCACAGAGGGGAUGCGUUUGGCUUUUGUAUAGAGGAGCGCACGUUAACAUGUCGUGGGACAAAUUGGGUUUCCAACUCCGUAAGACGCAAGAUCUGAAGAGUUGAAUCUGUGGGGAUGCUCAAUAAAUACUGUAACUGGUUAGCUCUGGUGGAUGUCAGCCCAUGGAUCUCCCUAGAUUCAAAAUAUCUGGUCCAUUGUUAAAAGUGCUAUGCUUAUCUCAGUUUUGCGUAAUCUUGUAGCGCCAUAGAAAAUUGUGCUGAUGCUACUGAGAAUAGAAAUCAUGUUGGGGAUCCUGAGGAGGCAGGUUACGUAGGCUCUAAUUUAUCUUUUGGCGCAUAUGCCAAUGACUCUUGAUUACAUUAACUGAGUUAACUGAUUUAUAAGUUCUUACUGUGCGGUUUUUUUAACGCUGUAUUGUUUGAUUGUGAUGCAGUGAUACCUCGGUUGGCGUUGCACAUGAUGCCUUCAACACUUUCUUCAGCGAGACUGGUUCUGGCAAGCAUGUGCCGAGGGCCAUCUUUGUCGACCUUGAGCCCACUGUCAUUGAUGAGGUGCGCACUGGCUCAUACCGCCAGCUCUUCCACCCAGAGCAGCUCAUCUCCGGGAAGGAGGAUGCGGCUAACAACUUUGCCCGUGGCCACUACACCGGUAAUUCACAUUGUGCCUUUGUGAAUAUGUAAUAGGAGUGAGUCUUGUGCUUCUGCGACUGCGGAUAUGUUCGAUUCUAAUUAUGUUUGUGGAAUGCAGUCGGAAAGGAGAUUGUCGAUCUAUGCCUGGAUCGCGUGCGCAAGCUGGCAGACAAUUGCACUGGGCUGCAGGGAUUCUUGGUGUUCAAUGCUGUUGGUGGUGGUACUGGCUCUGGACUUGGUUCACUGCUGCUGGAGCGCCUCUCAGUUGAUUACGGCAAGAAGUCCAAGCUUGGGUUCACCAUUUAUCCUUCCCCACAGGUAUGGCCUUUCCAAGAGGAGGUUGACUUAAGUAUCUGAGAAAUUGAUAAAAUCAAGUAGGUCUUGAAUCUCUAUUGGGCAAUUUGCUUAGACUUGUAUAUAAUUAAUAUCCUUGCGAACCCAUGCUAAGAUAUGGAUCAUGUAACUUGGCAGCGCUGUUAUUGCCUUCUGAAUUGCACAGAUACACUGGUUAUUGGAUCAGCCUAGCAUUAAUUAAAUCAUGUGUGGACUAAACGAGCAACUGUUGUAGACUUCUGGAGUUCUGGUUAGUGAGGAUCUUCCUUUAUAUGGUUAAGACCAUGAUAGCACAACUGUCACAGGCUACAGGCUUUCUUUAUUAGUGUCCCUAUAAAUCAUGCACUGCACAUGAGCCAACAUUAUCCUAUAGUGCUUCUCCCUCCUGUCCAUUUGAUUGUGGGCCAUUUAGUUUGUUCAUGUGAGUCUGCAUCUUAGCUGUUGUGGGGGACAGUGGGUAGAGAUGUUGUUUAAUGAUUUUGGGUAUGGUCCAUCGUUUAACUUUUCAUCUAAUGCCACUCUGGAUUGCAGGUGUCAACAGCUGUCGUAGAGCCAUACAACAGUGUCCUCUCUACCCACUCCUUGCUUGAGCACACAGAUGUUGCAGUCCUCCUGGACAACGAGGCUAUCUAUGACAUAUGCCGGAGGUCCCUUGACAUUGAAAGGCCAACCUACACCAACUUGAACAGGCUGAUCUCACAGAUCAUAUCUUCGCUUACCACCUCCCUGAGGUUUGAUGGUGCUAUCAACGUGGAUGUUACUGAGUUCCAGACCAACCUUGUUCCAUACCCACGUAUCCAUUUCAUGCUUUCAUCAUAUGCCCCUGUAAUCUCUGCCGAGAAGGCCUACCAUGAGCAGCUCUCUGUGCCUGAAAUCACCAAUGCUGUCUUUGAGCCCUCAAGCAUGAUGGCCAAGUGUGACCCAAGGCAUGGGAAGUACAUGGCUUGCUGCUUGAUGUACCGUGGUGAUGUUGUUCCCAAGGAUGUCAAUGCUGCAGUUGCAACCAUCAAGACCAAGAGAACUGUCCAGUUUGUGGACUGGUAAGCUGUCUCCGUCACAAUUUUAGUUAGUUGCACUUAUUUGAUGAUGUCACAAGCACCUGUCCACUUGAUUGGCCAUGCUAACUAACCAAACUGUGGUGCCGCCAUACAGGUGCCCCACUGGGUUCAAGUGUGGUAUCAACUACCAGCCACCAUCUGUUGUCCCUGGAGGCGACCUGGCAAAGGUCCAGCGUGCAGUGUGCAUGAUCAGCAACAACACUGCCGUCGCCGAGGUGUUCUCACGCAUUGACCACAAGUUCGACCUGAUGUACGCCAAGCGCGCCUUCGUGCACUGGUACGUCGGUGAGGGUAUGGAGGAAGGCGAGUUCUCGGAGGCCCGUGAGGACUUGGCCGCGCUCGAGAAGGACUACGAGGAGGUCGGCGCAGAGGGCGCGGACGACGAAGGUGACGAUGGAGAAGACUAUUGAGUAGCUGGUUAAUAAGUAGUUCGCUGGUGGUUAAUGGUUGGGUUGUUGGGUAUACUCUGUAUGGUUCCAUUCCAUUGCGUACUGCUGCCGUGUGUGUUUCCAUUUUGUAUUAUGUGGUAUAAAUUGUUCGUAGCGCCUGGUUGGCCAUGAUUGUUCAUAUCGUCUUGCUUUGGUUUGCAAUGCUAUUCGAUGAAUUUCGGUGUAUAUCAGUAUAUGGCAUUCUGUUGCAAGUGUUCUGUGCUCUCAACCAUUGGGGAGGAGUUUGAUCUGCCCCGCGGCGUGUUGUCAGGUGGAUAUCAACCAAUGCAGGAUAUGGUUUGCAGGUUGCUCAUAGAUGCCUGAUGCUACGAUCACUGACCAUCAGUCACCAAUGCAUUUGAGGUGGGCAUGGUGUGUCUGAGCUGCUUGAGCCAUACGCUCAGGGUAUGAUGGCAUGUGGAGAUCGCCGUGCUCGUCUGGCACAUCCGGCAAGCGCUGGUCGCGCACAUUCCCCCGGUUUGUCCAGACUUGGUGUCGCGACUCGCGAUGCAAGAGGGAUGAUAGGUGAGACAGCUUGGAAAGUGUUUAGAUCUGUGCACGAGAGCCCCGCGACCUGGUGCCAGUCGAUGUGGGUUGGUUGGUUUGGCAUCUGGUAGGUUUGGUGGCCUCAUGACGCUUUAACUUGGGAUGUCUCGUUCAGGAUCUCAGAAUUAUGAUGUGUCGAAGAAGCGUAAGGCCGGGUAAAAGUUGGAACUCACCCGACGAGCGUGAGUGUGUGACCCUGGAGUUUCAUUAUCGAAAAAAUUAUCUGGCGGACUUCCUGACCCGCCAUGGAUUCAGGCCAGGUAGGCAGCAUCAUUGAAGUACUACCAUCUGGAGUAAGAGUCGGUAGGUUUUCUGCAGAUCAGCAGAUGUGCGUCCCAGUAGCUAUGACUCCACUGGAGCAGAAGCAAACUGAGCCCAACCCGGCAGCCCCAAGAAAAAAGGUUUGGGCUGGGAAAUUGGGUUGCCGGCAAGGCCUUGUUGCGUGACCAGACUCCGGCCCAAAGAGGUGGCAUUACAAUCACCUCCAAAUAACGUAGCUUAGCUGCUCUCCAAAACAAAAAUUAAAAAAAAAUAACGUAGCUUAGCUAGCUUGCUGACUGACGAUGCCAUGGUUACAAAAGAUGCCAUGGUUUGAUUUGAUGACAACAAUGGAGCCGUUGCCGAAGAUGGAUCCACUCGAGCAAGGGCACAGGCCGCCACUCAGUUUUUCUAAUUUCAAUGGGCAUAAAGCUUAUCUAGUAAAGUUAUAAAGGCACACAUUUUUUCCAACUAGAUCCGGCAGCUAUGGUGUCACGGAGGAAUUGCCACAAAGACGAACAUCCAAUGUGUUGGGGGUUGUCGGAUGGGAGAGAAUUUCCCGCAUAUUAUUGGAUGCAUGGACAGAAGUUCCCACCGUUGCGUGAGCGCUGACACUACGAAAACUGACACCGCCCAUGCAGCAACUUGCAUUGCGUUGGUUAGAGCAACUGUUCCGUUCGUUGCCAUUUUGUUCCCUCCUCCGGCAUGUUUAAACUAGCAAAGCAUAAGUAGCCAGGGGGGAUCAACUGCAUCUGCCGCCUGCCGAUAACACGGCCGAGUCACUCACAUGGAGGAGUUCUGAUGCUUUUGCCCACCCUGCUGAUUCCUGAUCCCUGAAUAUUAUCGCGUGUCCAGGAGUUCCGGGACCCAUUGCUCACCUGCUCCGCUAAAAAAAGUUGCAAAAAAAGAAAGAAAAAAUGGCUCUCCCCUCCUUGUCCUCGCAUUCCCGUUUGUUUCUGCCGCUGUCGCGAGCGCUCAGCACAAACUUUCUCUGCUCAGCUCUCGUGCAGGCUGGAGUUGAAGUGUUGAACCAUCGUCCGCGAGCUGCAACCGAGCCAAAAACCGGGAUCGAUGGGAUCGGACUCCGUUGGACGGGCUCGAUUGGAAGUGAAAGGUGAUUGGGGGGGGGGCCCGCGACGACAAAAGCUUGGUAAAUGUGCCGACACCUGGCAGCGCGGCGGCAUGUUUGGCUCAAAUUUGAGCGCUCCAACCCCAACAAGGCAGGCUCGGGCUUAUAUAACUUGGGCCCCAGAGAACGCGCCAUAACCUGCAUUGAUCGUGCACCAAUCCUCGAGGGAAGUUCGUUUAGCGAGUUCUUGGAUUUCCCCGUUGGAGGGACAUAUCCAAAUCUUAAUUUUUUUUACGGGAACGCCAGGGAAGGCCCUACCCGAUUUUUGUUAUAUAUAAAAAGGAAUAUGUACAGUUUACAAGGCUUCAGGCUCAAGGUAAAAAGAGAGAGUUCACAAGAGGCUACUCAGCCAAAUAUUAAUCUUCUGACUAAUGGAAGGUUUUGCCCUAAGGGUAACCUUUUCUAGCUCCGCUACAAAAACAAGCUCUCCAGCAGCUGAAUGAUAGAGUACCACCAUCAAAGAUUAUGCUGUUCCUGUGACACCAUAAGGCCCAUGACGCAAUUAUCACAAUCUCCCUAAAAAAUACUGGAUGCAAACCUCUCCCGUGCUCUGUCAAGAGGUUGGAGGCUGAGGUCCCAUUGAAUGUCCAAAUGUCCAAAUACAGCGAACAGGCCUGGCUGAAAAGGACAGUAAAAGAAUAAGUGACUGAUUGUCUCCUCUACAUUCCCAAUGCACAAAACACAGUUGUAGCUAUCCAAGUACAUGUUCCUUCCAUGUAGGAGGUUUCUGAUGUUAAGCUUAUCACGAAGGAGGAGCCAGAAGAAGAACUUGUGUUUGUUUUGAACCCUAGACUUCCACAUCUAUUUGAAGAGAGGGGAGGCCCGUAUAGAACCCUGGAGGCUUUUGUAAGCUGUUUUGCUUGUAAAGACUGCAGAUCCCCAAAUAUAAGUCCAGACAUCAUUUUGCAAAUCCCCCAUGUGCAAUUGGUCUAAAAGCUGCUGAAGUUCAGUCAGUUGGGCAGCAGCAAUCUGAGCUAUUGUCGGAGGCGAUAAACUUUCUCACCGAAAUAGAAUUUCUCUUUGAGAAAGAGGAAAGCUGCGGAAAUCUCCAUUUGAGCACACCUAAGUCUUAGAGAUCACUCCAGAAGGCAACUGAGUUUCCUUUCUGAGCAUUGCAAGUAGCUAUCAUGGAGAGGUUUUGCGCCAGAGAUAUGAUGUCCUUCCACCAAAAGGAUCCAACAUUCUGCCUUUCAAGGGGGAGUACCAUUCUUAUACAACCACUGCCAUGUGAGAUGCACCCAGGGUAUGUCCACUUUAUUAUAAAAUUUGUGAAGAAAUUUGAGGAGAAGCGUAGUGUUGUCAGUCCUUACUCCUUAGGUUGAUAAUGCCAAGACCACCAUCUUCUUUGCUCCUGCAAGCAUGCUCCAAGCCACCAAGCAACCACCCUUUUUGUCAGAUCACCACCAUUCCAGAGGACAUGUUUCUAGUACUUGUCAAUUUUGUCCAAGAUUUCCACAGGUAUCUUUAGAGCACACAUGUAGAAGGUGAGCAUAACUGAGUAUAUAGAAUUUACAAGAAUUAACCUACCAGCAUAAGAUAGCAUCCUUGAUGUACCCAUGAGGUGCUUUUCCAUACGUUCAAGGAUAGGCAUGAAAUCCACUACCGAGGUCCGAGUGGUUCCAAGAGGAAGACCGAGAUAAGUGAAGAGCAUGCUUCCAAGCUUACAACCUAAGGUUUCUGUUAACUCUGGCCAUUAUUUUGAUUCCUCCACAUUAAUGGGUACCAGGAUAGAUUUGUGGAAAUUUACCUUGAGACCAGUGGAAGUGGCAAACGUAUGAACUUUUUUGUAUAUAAGAUUCAAAUCUUAACUUUGAAAUACCAAUCUCAUUUGAUUAGUUUUGGACGAAAAAUUCAUACUACUUCGACCUUCUUUAGCAAGGCUCUACUUGGCUUUGGCUCCAGCUCUUUGCUACAGUGAUCGAUACUGUGCAACACCAUUUUGAGCUGUAGCGUGAAACCAAAACGCAAAACGAGGAGUAAAAUGGACUAAGGAGAAGAUAAAGUCGGUGAAGCAAGUUUAUUGGACUUCACCGGCUUCAUGCUACAGUGAUGAACAAUACAUGAAAAGUGCUAGAGCUGUAACCGAAGCCACGCCAAAUGCACCCUUAGAAUCUUAGCGUACAGGUAAUCUGACGAGAAACUGAUCCCUCGUCUACAGCCACAAGGCAAUCAGCUAAAUGCCUGUGAAAAUUGGCAAGUUUUGAGCAACACAUAUCCAUUGAAAUGGGAUAGAAAUUGAAAUAUAAACUCCAUUCCGCUUAUAUACCAGUGAUGACUGACGACUACCUCUUCUCCACACUCCAUUUUUAUGUACUUAAAAAAAUUGAAUGGAGGUUCUUCAAAAAGAAAUUGAAAUGCAGAAAAGAAUUUGAAUGAAGAAGUCUCAGACGAAAAUUUCUUUUUUUUUAGACGAAAAGUUUCUGCUACUGAAAAUCUUCAGCAAAUUCGAGUGCCGGAAAUUUGCGCAAGAUUUGAGCAACACUGGCGAUCUAAUCGACCGUCCUGAUCAAAUGUUCGUGGAAAAGGGAAGAAAUAAAAAUUUCUUCACCUAGAGAUAUUAGAUCCAGAGGAUCGAACUACACCGAAUUUAUCUCCACAAAGGGUACACCAAAAGAAUUGAAUUCCGAGAUCAGGUGCCAUUAUGCAGCUCAAGAAGAGAUACUACAUCCUGAAAAUUGGAAUGCACAAUGACUUGCUUUGCCACACGGCAAAAUUCGAAGCAUUUUCGCACAAAAAUGCAUCCACUGGCUACAACGAGUAGGAUCCUCGAUCUUCGUCUUCCUCUUUACACCGCGCACGCACACAUACACCUGACACCUGUUACUUCCCCGACAAUGGCCAACAUCCAGGAGGCGAAAGAGCAAGAACGACGACGCACGCACGCAGUUGAGGUGAGGCUAGCUACUAGCUCAGUGGCAGAGCGGCGAGAGAUCCCAGAGCGGGUCGCAGGCGGAGGCGUCGAGCACCCGGUCGAAAUACUCCUGCAGGCCGUUCAUGGCGUACAGCGACGCCGAGAUGCGCCGCUCCACCUUGAUCCGCUCGAACUCCGCCAUUUCGCCCGGCGCCGCGGUGGCGACCGGCUCCUCUUCCACGGGUGCGGCUGGGACGGCGGUGUCGACAGCGGCGAAGCUGUCCAGAGCCGGGAACUGGCCGAACGCCGAGUCGAACAUCCAAGAAUCGAACUCUUCGGCGCCCACGGCGGCGAACUCCGGCCGGUACACCUCACUGGCGUCCAGCGCGCCGCCGCCGCCAUUUAGCACGGCGUCGUCGCAGCUGACUGCGCUGCUGGAGCUGCUGCUGCUGCUGCUAGAGCCACCACAAGCACUAUUCGUGCUAUUACUAUUAUUAUUGCUAUUGCUAUUGCUAUUGCUAUUGCUAUUGCUCGUGGUGGGAGCAGGGGAGAUCGCCGCCUUCUUCUUCGAGAUGGCGGCGGCGGCGGCCGAGGAGGAGCUCGCCGCGGCGGCCUUGGCCUUCUUGACCUUCUUGUGGUGGAGGAGGCCGCGGAUGCGGACGGCGAGCGGGCAGUCCGGGGAGAUGCGGGGCGCGAAGUUGGUGCGGGCUUCGUUGCCGCGGAGGAGGCGGGCGGCCUCGUCGUAGGCCUUGGCGGCGGCCUCGGCGGUCUCGAAGGUGCCGAGCCACAUGCGGAUCUUCUGCGUGGUGUCCUUGAUCUCGGCCACCCACCGCCCCGACGGCCGCUGCCGGACGCCGACGAACUUGCUGUGGUUGUUGCUGCCCUUCUUCCGGCCCCGCGGCUUGGACGGCUUGGCCUGCGCCGCCGCCUCCUGCUGGUAGUAGUAGUAGUAGUAGCUGCUGUAAUCCUCGAGCUGGAACCCUGAUGACUGUGGCUGGAAGUGGAGCUCCAUUGGAGGCUUUCUUGGUGUUCGAGCUGAUGGUUGGAGUGGUUGGAGGGGAGAGGAGGAAGACAGGUGUCGAUCUGCCGGGUGCUUGCUCUGCUUUGGUUUUGGUGGUGAGCAGCUGAGCACAAGGGGAGAGGAUUUAUAGAGGAUUUCAGGUCACUUGGCAAUGGAGCCCUGUGGGGUUACUGUCAUGGGCUGGUCAAAUGCUGGUCUGCCUAUGAUCAUGUGAAGUGAGUGUUUGGGGGAUAAGGCAUCUUGUUGGGUUCUUUUUGUCCUUUCAGUUUGUUUUUCGGCUUUGCCCUUAUGCAUUGUCACUGAGCAAACAAAGCUAAGCUGGUGUUCUUUCCAUGAUUAUUUUUUUUAACUAAGUUUGUGCUAUUGCUGGAUCAACAAAUCGGUGAGCUUGCAGCCUUAGUGCAUCACCACUCACCACUAUUUGACCUUUUGGCAUUUUCUUUCAUUACUAUAUAUCAUAAGAAAGAUAAUCAUUUUACUUUUGACUCAGUACAGUGGAAAUUCCUUUUUCAAUGUCUCAAAGGGUUCAUGCCUGCAGGCUGCAGGCAGCAAGCACACUAGAGUUCAGCAAGUACAUGCUCCCCACUACAAUGCCAAGCACCGAGUAAAACUUGGAAGCAGGGGUCAGAGGGUCUACUUCAUCUAGUAACUUAAAUUACCAUGUCUACACCUGCAUGCAUUACCUUAACCGAAAUUUUUAGGACACUGAUUGGACUAGUUCUUCCAUAAUUCGCGGUUAUCCCUCUGGUCAAGCUACUUACAUGAGACCGGGUCCGAAUUGCACCAUAACCCGCCACAUGGCAGCAUUAGAGAGAAUGGCGACGAGCAAUUAGGAUACAAAGUAGAAACGGCUAAACAUCACCUUUUCAUCGACCACGCCCACUUGUGCUUUGUUUAUCUUGUUUCUUGACAAAAGCUGCUAUCAACCAAGUCUUUCUCGUCACUGGAUGAUGUACUCGUCCUUAGCUAGUUCAAUUUUGGGCGCCCAUGAGUUUUUGAAAGAAUCUUUGCACAGAUAGCAUAUGAAUAUCAUACAAAACAGCAGCCCGAAUUGUUUUCCGCAGUAAUAAAAUGCUUACUACCAAGCAUUAGUACUUGAACACAUCACAAAGAAAGUGUUACUUUGACAUGGACACGAGUGCCGGAAUCCGACUUCCGACUAGGGUUCGAUUCUUCGACUAGGAAAAACUUUAUUGAAAAUAGAUAAUAGUUAUUGUCUCUUCGGAGACGUCCAACAAAAUUACCGGGCGUAUGAAUGAGUACCGGAGUCCAACUCGGAUUUGUGAAUUGGCAUGGGAGUUGAGUAACACACACAAGAUUCUAGAUCCAGAUAUAUGAUAGCAGUUUUUCACUUUUUUGGAAGUUCCCUUUGACAUGGAAGUUGAGCUAACAGUUGACCACCCGUUCAGGCCUUCUUUUUGCAGAAUGAGCACUUGAGGAGUUCAAGGUAACAAUACGUCAAUAACUGGAGUGUUAGCGUUAUGAUUUUUACACUAGGAGACAAAUCUAAACCCUGAAGCAUCUUUGCUUUACCUUUGAGAAUAGCAACAAUUCUCUAGCCGGUUGAAACUGAAGCAAGCAUGAUGGCAAAGGCUUUCUUGAUCUCUCGGAACUAAAGAGACGGCACUGCUAGUUUAAUGAAACAGGUCUUCUCUUUGCAUACCACAAUGUACUGUUAGGAUUAACAAAGCUACAUUCCUUGGUAAGCAACGGGCAUAUUUUCCCUUCAUAACUUGAGAAAAGGUCAUCGUCAUGACUCAUGAACACGGACCCCUUCAACUCCAAAGGCUUGCCUACCUCACCUAUCAAAAAGGCAAACUUUGUCAAAUUGUGGCGCGUCAUUCCACCAAAUAAACUAUGUUCAGCUUGCUGAUUGAGCAAUAGGAUAGAGCACCCACAUUGGCCAUAGUUUUAUAGUCAGGAUGACUCCAAGAAGGCUAUGGCUCGUAACCUCUUGUUUCGUAGCAUGGCAGAUGCCCUGUUUGUCGCUGUCAAGGUGCAUUUCUUUGUCGAGCUCGGUGGGGCUACCUGCGCCAACAUGACAAGAGACCACUUUUUGGGCAGCAGCAAGGUCAAGAAAGAUGGCAUCUUGGCAUCGGUCCCGGGGGUUGGUUUCAGAUUUGUCUUUGUGUGAUGGAGCCGCCAUGGAGCAGGAGGAGAUGGACAUAUUCCAGCCGUGUUUUGGGAGGUAACCCUCUCGCGACCAAUUCUAGCUCAUUGCUGACGUCAAAACUUUUCGCAGCGAAGAUUAUCUGAAAGCUACCUUUGGAAUUUUUUGCCAUUGGUUCCUUUACGGUGACGAAUGCACCUGCUAUGUGGUUGUGUACUUCUAUUGAUUUGUUGAGAAGAAAACCCAAACAAGGACUAUCUGGCUAUAGGGAGCUGGGACGAUAAACAAAAGCAGCAUCGUAAUGCAUGCUCCUUCAAAUCUAGAAAGAACAUGAUACGGCUGCAUAUAUCUAAAACGAUUUCGGUUGGGGCUGCCAUUUCCAGCUCCCCAGCCGUCGGGAAUCUUCAAUUCCGCCGCAGAUUUCUCGAUGCCACUCGUAUGAAGACAAGGCCGCCAUGCACAUGUGCGGGCAUAUCAACGUUCAACGGAUAGAAUCGUGAAGUUAUUUUUCUUUCAACACAUGUUAAGGUAGCAAAUUUCAGAAGCCACACAAAAGGUAAAGCCACGUUCGAACUAUCAUCUGUUCGUAGUGGCUUUUUAACUCGAUGCCAUGCUCGACGGCUUUAACACAAGCUGGUAAACGUUUCGUUUUUCUCAAUUACUAACCACGGAGCAUGCACAACUUCAGCAUUUCCAAACUGGGCAUAUCUCAAAAGUUUGCAAGAAAAAAUUGGCAAAUAAAAUGACUACAAUUAACGGGCAUCAAAGCGAUGCAGAAGGCAAUCUCACUCAAAGUACAAUGAUCUCAUUACCAAAACUGAUGCAGCAUAGGUCCAACCCAACCGACAACAAACCUCACCAUUUCCCUUACACCUCUGUUGCCAGCACGUCUCAAAACCAUAUUUUGAGUACAUGACAAUAUACACUCUACAUCAAAACCAUGUAUGCAACUUCCAAUUCCUCCAAGCGACCGAUGCAUUCACAAAUUACCCCACCCAGAAAAAGAUUCAACACAAAAGAAUUGCCUGACAGUAACAAUGAUGAAAUAUCAAGAAGAAGAAAAAAUGCAGCCCGGACCUUGCAGCGGCAAAAAACAACUAUGUCGAUAAGAUGGACUGUAGCAGGAGCUGCUGCUGCGGUUGCAAGUUGGAAAAUGUUGACGCGAGAAAAUCUGGAGGUAAAGUCUGCUGGAAUCGCCUCAAGAUAUUGACCAUCUUGUUUUUUGUUUCAUCUGUAGCAAGCUCUGUCCCAGGGCACAAAACCUGCAGAUUGUACAAGGACAAUCAAUGAGUUCAUCCAUAACAGUUAAGUCAAACAUAGUUAUCGCUACAAAUUUACAACCCUACCAAAUUAGAGUACACAUAAAAAAAUUACCUCUGCAAAUAUUGAAAUAAUUUUCAGAAGAUACUGAUUCUGAGGGCCAAGAAUUUCUCCAUCCGACCUGCAAGCAGAAAUGGUUAUUAUAAACCGCAAAUGGGAUCCACCUUAGUUGGCAGAUUUCCAGUCAAGAACAUACCUCUCCACCAUUGAGCAAAGUUGCUCAUGUACAACUUUAGCUUCAAUCUUAUCAUCUUUUAUAGGCAAGCAACUAAGCCAUGCUGGAAUAACCUGAGAAGACUGUAUAGGUCAGUUUCGAAAAGUAUCAUCCACAAGCACAAAUAACUAUCCCCUGGCAAAGCUACAAGUGCAAAAUUAGGCUUCAGACACCACGCAGUACAGUUAGAAGCUGAGAGGUGUUCAGUUUGAGGAAUGGGUGGUCCAUCAGACCAUAACCUUCUCACUCCUCACAUUUUUGUUUGGUUUGGGAAAUAGGAUGAGUUGAUCCAUCACCACCUCAUCCCAACAAGCACAUGGUUAACUUAAUAAUGAAGAAUUGGCUUAACCCACCAAAAUUCAUGGGAUGACUCCAUAGACCAUUCCAUCCUAGACGAGGAGACUCCUCAAACCAAACACCCUAUUAGGGUUUCAGUGUGUCCCUUGCUCCUCACUCUCAGUGUCCACGCUCUCAGUCUCAGUGCGGUGAGAAGAAAGGAGAAAAAGGGUUGACCCUUUUCAGGAAUGAAAGAGUUACAAUCAGCACCGUCUUAAGAUUUUCAAUUCCAGAUUUCAGGCUUCACGCUGCUAAGCCAGCCUAGUACUGUGCCUCAGCCUCCAAGAGCAGGUACACCUUCCUAUUACCCCCCCUCCUUCCCACAUGAACUACUGCCUACGGCACACCGAGCAAUUUCUGGAAACAUGCCGUCACAAUCGGUAGGCAAUAGAUACAACCUCCAAAUAUUCAUCCAUUACCAACAACUAAGCCCUUGUCUCUAGCAAGUUGGGGUAAGCACAUAACAAGAAAAUGUUGGCCAUAUCAUCAGAGGAAAAAAAAGACAUUGAGAAUAGAGCAUAUACCUGGGCCGCGUCAAUGCCAUCCCGAUGAAAUUGACAUAUUUUUCCAAGUGCCGAAACAGCAUUGUCAUAGGCCAUAAUAUUGUCUGGAAGUCGUGCUUCAGGAUGUCGGAUAACAUUGUUUAACUUUGAUAGGGCCUCUGAAUUCAGAAGCAUAACAUGGUUGGAUUAGUUGUAGAAUGUUGAAAAAAAAGCAAAACAUGUAAAUACUGGAAAUAUAAAGAAACUACCUCCAACUAGAGGGCGAAAAACAUGACCACCAAACUCAGCACAUACACCCACACCAUAGACAGCAGCCUAAAUGAAGAGGUCCAGCAUUAUAUCAGUGUCCAAUGAGACCGAGUAAAACGGGAGAAUGGGUCAAGGGAACAUGAUAGAACAAAAAACAGACCUGCCGGACAUCUGAAUUUUCAUCGUUUGCUGCCUCCAAAAGGAAAGGAAGGUAUGUAUCAUAAUACCUCAAAGCUGAUUCACGGCAUUGCUCCGCAACAUCAUCAAAGAUACAGAUAGCUAUCCUUCUCUCCUCGGGUGUUUUAUCUUUUCCCUGCGAAUCAAAACAUAGGGUACCAAAAUAAGUAGGAAUAAAACAUCAAACUGAAAAAAAAGGUUGGAGCAUAACACUGCACAACAGGAAUAAGCAUGAAAAAACAUGCCAAUAACUAAUGAGAAGAAACCCAUUCGAUUCAUGUACAUAAACUAGCAUGCAGUAACUGAAUGCUCAAUAAAUAACAAUAGAGAGCUCACACAAAUAAACAAUCAGGUCAGGGUUCAGUUAGCUUACCAACAUUGGCGUAAUGUACACAGAGAGCUCAUCAAAGAACGGCAAGAAAGAAGCUUUGAAGGUUUUAAUCAAAGUACCAAGGCACUCGCUGACCUGAAAGUUUAAAUAUGUUAAAAGAAAAUUAAUAGGUAAAUCAUUUAACAUAACAUGCCAAAGACAGUUUUCUCAGUAUGACAAAACAGAUAAAACUUCAAAUCAUUUCAAAACAAACAAACCUGAUCAAAUACUUCCUCCUCCUGUUCAUUCUCUUCUUUGAGUAGCUCUCCUUCAUCAGCAUCAAAAUCUUCCGCUUUUGUUCUUUCUGUACGUUCCCUUUUCCUGGUUGCGCUGGCUAUAAUGACAUUUUUAAUCUCAUCCGAAAUAGCUCGUACUUGGGUUUCAUCGAGCAAACGACCAGAAAGCUGCUCAUGAGUAAGAUCAAUGGAAAAUUGAGUCAUAAAUAAACCAUUCAAGAAAAUAGAAUAUUUAAAAACCCAUGCGAAGAGAAACCAACAGAACUAUAACACAUAUUCUUUCACCCACUGAACAUAGUGAAAUGAUCCCUUUCUUGUCUUUUUGUGGUUAUAAAGUGAUAAUCACGGGCAAGCACAUGUUCACAUAUGCAGAUGCACAGAUUUCAGAAUUGUAAAAGGAGCAAAUCUGCGAGCACAACUUUCAGAUAAAAUCUGCGUGCACUUUAUAAGUUUCAUUCUAACUAGACAACUUUCAGAUAAAAUAUGCUAAGAUAUACUUAUUUGAUAACAUAGGGGUAGGUUAGGAAAAAAAGGUGAGGUCCUAAAUAUACAAGUGAAGCUUUAGGAAGAAUCUCAAUCAUGGAUUCAAAUUAUGAAGCAUAGAUGGUGUAAAUGCACAAACCUGCAUGCACUCAUUUAAUGAGUCCAGCAUGGAUGAGCACAUUUCUGUUUCUGGCUCCUGCACAAAGGACGCAAAAAGUUCAGGUGUCAGCAUGGGUAAAAGAAAUAAUAAUUCAACUACUGAGAUAUCUUUAAAUAGACCUUGUGAAGUGCUUCAACAAGAGCUGGAAUUACGUAGUCAGACAACUGUUUAACAUAAGACUCGUCACGGCCUUGAGCCUGUCCUUUCUCAACAGCCAACUUUGCCGAACGUAAGAGUUCCGGCAUUGCUGCACAGAUGUUCAGAAUUGUAAAAGGAACAAAUCUGCAAGCACAAAUAAAUCAUAGUGUAACAUGAAAAUACCCGCAACAGCAGCUCUUCUGACUUCUUCAUGGAAGUAAAACUUCAGCAGAGGGACCAACGUGGGGGCAACCUACACGUAAAUUUGUAUCCAAUGAUAUAUGCUGGAAAGGGGCAGCUGAAACUUGAAAGAAUUAGAUAUUGGAUAUGUUUAGUGCAAUAAUGAACCUGAUCAAUCCAUGGGAAGAAACCCUCCUUAAGCUCAUCAGCAUAACAGCACAGCAUGUUGCAAGCUGUUGCUUUCUCUUCCAGCACACUAGUUCGGAUUCCUAUUCUCUUGUCACCAAGUGUGAUUGUUUCAAUGCUGUAUAAAACACAAAUUAAGGGUAAGGGUAAGUGUAAAAAAAAUCAUACAAAGUUAAAAGUAGGAUGCUCUCCUUGUGUCAGCAGAAAGGUGAAUGAAUAGCAAAAGCUUGGCAUCAUCAAUGAAAAAAACCAAAACACAUGAAAAAACUCCAUAAAUGACAGUGUAAAUGUUCUACCGACUAUAGGCACAGUAAAUCUAAAAGCUUGUGUACGGUUCAUAUCAUUUCAUACUGCAAAUAAGUUUAAAAUUAGAAUGCUAAACUGAUGAUUUUGCAGCUUAAAACGAAUUUCUUCUAAAUUUUCUCCUUUGUACAUUCUCCUGGAUACUUCAGAUACGGGCAUAUAAAAAGUCAUUUAAACAAAAAAUUGUACAUUCUCCAGGAUACUUCAGAUACGGGCAUAUAAAAAGUCAUUUAAACAAAAAGACAAGCAUCAACCAUGGAAUUAAAAAGAUUCCAUAUUUGCAACUGUACAAGAGCGAGAAAGGUAUAGAUAUUUCUAAGUGGAAAUAGUCCAACAUAGUUGUCAGGUUUGCUAACCUAAAUCUCUAAUAAAGUAGAUAAAACAUUGCAACAGAAUGAUAACAGACCUAUCGUCAUCUGAUUCUAUUUCGUCAUCUGAUUCGGCUGAAGUAAUUGUCACAUCGGGCUUCAGCUGAGCAGACUGAAGCAAUGGUGGCAUAACAACACUCAUGUAAGGAAGGAAAUCCUGCCCAAGACAUUUGCAUAGCCUGGCCCAAGCCUAUCACAUGUGGUGGUAAGUGUUAGAUAUAUAUUUGAAGUGUUGUUAAGCCUAGUUUCAGAUGCUUUGAAACAUACCUGCAACAUGUAGCUGGUAAUUGGAUCAUCAGUUUCCAUUGGUGUUCCUUGCAAAGCCAUAAGUACUUCCAUAACCUAGUAAAGGGCAGAUGAUUAGAAUAAUAACACUUCCUCAAUUAAAUAAAAUAUUACAGCUGAUUGCACAUUUAGACUUAAAAGUGCAAGAAGAAGAAAUGACAGCCAUAAAUAAUGAUUUUAAUAAACAGAAAUAGACAUAAUUUUUCUGAAUUCCGAUAAAUUAGCAGGAAAAGCUUGAACAGUGAAACGGUUCAAGAAUACGAACAGUGGUUACAGAUCAAUCACAAAUUAUUUGCAACAAAAUAGAAGUACAUAAUUUGCAAGCUGGAACAUAACAUUACAAGUGAAAGAAAAGGCUAACCUGCCUCGCGUCGUCUCUGAACUUGUCCUUACCCACAGCCAUUCCUACCAAACUAAUACACUCCAUGGACUUGGCACGGAGCAUCCUAUUAGACUUGUCAGUUGCAUUCAUCAAAAUAGCUUUUAGGUAUGGCAUGACAGCAUCAUAGUAUUUCUUGAAGUGCUCCUGCAAGGCAAACAAACAAAAAGUUAUCAUAAUGCUAUCAGCUUGUUAUCAACAGCAGGCAAGACAGCACUAAAACAAUUUGUUAUAAUUGGUCAGCUAUAAAAAAGUUAGUCAAAUGCUAUAAAUUUGUUAAUAGGUGCUUCUGCCACUCAGGAGCAGACAAAUAAAAAGUUUAGUCAAAUGCUAUAAAAUUGUUAUCAUUACCAAGCUAUACAGCACUAAAACAAUGAGACAACCCCAUGAUACAUGUGAUACAUGACGACAGAAAUCCAUUAUGCACAUAACAAAAAAAAAUGUAUCUAUGCACUCCCAGGCGAACAGUUACCUGUGAUGAAUCUGCCACUGAAGCUAGGGCUGUCAAUGCUCCCUCUUGCACCAUUUGCUUGCCAUUCUAGAAAUAACAUGAGAAGUUAGCAUGUUUACUACCCAGAAUAACGAAUAUGCACAAAGCAAAACUGAAAUGUAAAUCAAUACAAGUAAACAUAUACCUGAAGAAGGACAAGUAAUUUGUUGACGAUUCCAUCCAGGUAAGGUGUCAAAAUUUCCGGUGUACAGUUCUCACUGAAGUUCAGGAUCGCAGAUGCAGCAUGUGCCUGUCAACAAGAAGAUUCAUACAGGAAGUCAAUAUAGGUUGCUUUUUCCUAAGAUGCAUGACAUAAUAGAUGCACAUGACUUCUGAUUGAGAAUAGAGACAUAAAGAGUUGCGUAGACUUAGCAUCUCAAUAAACGCAAAACACUUCAACAGCGUUCAAUUCAAGAGUCUUAGUUUUCAAAAAGAAAUGAUAAAAAAGUCAAAGUUAAUCAAGCAUCUACAAAAUGCUACCUUCUAGUAACAUUUACUUGUAAUGGUGAUGAUGGACUUACUAACUUGCCAGGUGAUUAAAUUACUAUUUAUUAAAGAAAAUUAUUAGCUUGAAGCUAAAUAGAACUUCGUUUUUAGACAUUCAUGUGUUAACUGCCCACAACUAUUUACAAAGUUUUGUUUCAGUAUGCACGAACAAUAACUUUCUUGAUCCACAUCAAGCCAAUUGAUGCAACAUUAAUUCUAGAAUAAGCAUUAACAAGUUGAAGAUAUGAGAUCAAGUUUUGCUAAAAUAAUAGAACUAACCUGAACUCGUGGGUUCUGGAAAUCAUCCAUAGCGUUCGCCAAUGCAGGCAACACUUUCUGGUGGUAAUGAACUUGCAAGUCUGGGCCCAAAUCCGUAGAGAGCUGACCAAUGGCAUUGAUUGCAGCCCAUCUCACACGUGGGUGAGGAUGUUGGAACCCAUUCAAUAUCAUCGAGACAACUUGUUCCAAAUUUUUAAGCAUAACCUGCCAGCAAAAACAGCAACCAAUGAUAAGAUGGCCUUGUCCAGCUAUUUUCCUAAACAUGAAAUCGAGAACAGAUAGCAUAAUGUGGUUUAAUAGUAGCCAACAGCUCUUAUAGAUUUGGCAAUUUAGUAUUUGUCACCGCUUCUACAUGUAGUGUUCAUUAUCCCAUUUUCCCAAUUCCUAAUUCAACAUGUCAGCUCAAGAAAUCCAUUUUACCUAUCCAAAACAGCAACAAUAAAUAUCUUUUGAGUUGAACAACAGAUUGCUGUAUACUAGCCAUACUUAUAAAGUUAUCAUGCUAACCUUUGCACAUCCUUCCGCAAUCUGUGCGAGUGUUAUGAGCGCAGCAUGGUGCUUCUGCCACUCAGGAGCAGACAGGUACUGUGGAAGCAGCUCAGAUGCAAUUGGCACAAUUGCAUUUCCACCAAUGGCGAUGGCAAGGCGGUCAAGGCACUCCUGUGCCACUCCAUAGUUGUUCCCUUCACCUGCAUCCUCAUCUUCGGUUUCAGCAGAGUGCCAAGCAGGGUCAUCCUCGACAUCAAGCAGCAUCUGCAUUAGCACUGCAAACAGCCUGCCGACAAACUGCGGGAGUCGACGCAUCAUUCCCGGUGCACGCUCCCUUGCCUCAGCAAGAGUAAUGACAAACUCAACCGCCAAGUGCCUGGUCCCAUCUUCCAGCUGUGCAGCCUCAGCAACUUGUAGCAUUGCUCCCACCACGUCCGCAAUCUGCCUCCGUAGGAACCUUGGCUCUGCGCCAGCCAGCUCAACGAGCAGCUCCAGCGCCUCCUGCGCCGAGGCCUCCUGGCCAGAGUUCAGGCAAUCCGUGAGCGCCCUCAUCAUAGCCGGGAGCAAAUCCUGCAUCUUAUCCCGAUCGGCGUUGGUUGGCAGGCACUGGACGAGGUUGACUGCGGCACCCAGGGCCGCAAUACGCACAUCAGGGGAUGUGGGGUGCGCCAGAGCGGCGGCGAGCAGGUUGUGGAUAGUCAUCAGAUGGUCGAGGAGCGAUUCAGCGAUGUAAUCCGCCAGCCUCGCGAAGAUAAGCAGCGCCGACUCCUGAAGGUUGGGCGCCUCGGGCCCCGACGCGGCGCGGAAGAGGAAGGGCAGCAGCUCGGCCCAGGCGUUCUCGGGCAGCAGCGAGGCAGCGAGCUCGGAGAUGGCAUCGCAGACCUUCUUGGCGAUGGGCUUGGGGGGAUCGGACUGGAGCGCGGAGAGGAGGUGCGCCUUGAGCGCGGACUGGCCGGCGAGGGAGAGCUGCGGCCAGAGCGGCGCCGGGGGCGAGGCGUUGUUGGCGGACGCGUCGGAGGACGGGGUCGGGGAGAGGACCUUGCGGAGCAGGACCCCCGCCAUGGCGCGGAGGUCGGCGGCGGUGGCGGGCGACGCGAGCGAUGAGGCGAGCCGCAGCGCGAGGGGCUCCGGGUGGGAGGCCCGGAGGCGGUGGAAGGCGGCCUCGGCGGCGGAGCGGUCGGUGUUGGAGGACGACAUGAGGGUCGACAGCAGCCCGUCGAACGCCGCCGGGUCGCCCCCCAGCAGCGCGGCGGCCGCGGCCUGGUCCUCGGCGGACGCCAUCGGAUCGGGGUCGAAUCCGGGGCGCGCGGCGGCGGCUAGGGUUUGAGGGGGGAUAGGGGUCGAGCCGGUGGUGGCGGCGGCGGCGGGAAGGGGAGGAGGGUGGUGGAGAGAGAAUUAGAGACACGGCCUCGGGUUGGGUUUAAUAUUAUAUGGGUAGGGUUUGGGAGAUGCGUGCGGCUCGCUCGUCGCGGGCGGGCGCGGCGGGGAGAGGCCAGGCGACCUGGUGGCUGGUGCGUUUGGGGUGGGUGACUGGGUGGGGCAACCGCCGCGACGCGAGAUGAGAACGAGACGAGAGCAGCGCGCUCGCCGUGUGGUUUGGUUGCAGGCCGCCGGGGUCGGGUCCGGCUUGGCGGGGUUCGGGCACCGCACGACGGUUUCGCGGGAUUCCCUUGUCCCCGUCAGCUUUUCCAUCGUCCCCCGUGGAUUUUCGCAUCGACUCGCCGAUUUCUGCGUCCGCCGAAACCGACCGCUCGGCUCGUCUCGGUUCGGCACCCGCUCGUGCCCCUAUGGCAUCCGCCGCUUCGCCGAUGCUUCCUUUUCCCUGCCGCGCCGCGUCUUUUCGGCGAGCGGGCACGGGGGGUUCUGGGUUUUACAGCUGGGGGGUGUGAGCUGGGCGCGUGGAUGGAAUGGAUGGACAGGAGAAGGUGGUGACGCCCAUGGAGGGCCAUGAUUGGGCAUUGAUGGGUACAGGCAGCCGGCCGGGCGCCAUCUUCCCCGCGUCAUCAUUGAUGCACGGCUCAGGGGAACAGCAGCGGCCCAACAGGGCUCGUGCAAGCUGCUGGCAAUCUUGUGGGUUGACUGAUUUCCGGUACGAAGAGUGGGAAUGUUUUGGUUAGCUAUCAAUGGUGUGUAGCACGUAGUACAAUAGUUACGUGUGCAUCACCGUAUCAAUGCAAAACAAGUGGUGAACAUACGGUGAUUGAGAUCCCGUGUGUUCAUUCCCAGGGAUUAUGAUUUCGUUUUUUGAAUUUUUUCGGUCCUCAAUAAAAACACCAAAUUUCACGAAUUCCAGCUGAAAUUUGGACUAAAAAGGUAAAUCUUUCAACGAAGAGAACAAAAUUCCGGGCAAACAGUUAUUUCAGUCACCAUCGAAAAGACCAAAAUUUCACGAAUUUCAACCGAAAAUUCACGAAUUUCGAUCGAAAAUCUACGAAUUUCAACCAAAAUUUUGAACCAUGUUCAUUCCAUUCCUUUUCGAUAGAGGUGUUGUUUGCUCCAUAAAUUGCGACGCAAAAGCAAGCAUACCCCGUAAAAGUUAUUAAAGUAAUGAGAAUUUGGCAUGACGUCAACAAAGUAACGAGAAACUGACGUAACAUUAAGCCGUUUACAAAAUAACGGAAACCGACAUGGCGUUAUGCUUUUAACGAAGCAGACAGAAACCGACGUAGCGUUAAACCGUUAACAAACAAACAGAAAAACUGGCAUGGCGUUAUGUCGUUAGCAAAGUAACAAGAAACUGACAUUGCGUUAGGCCACCGACAUUGUUCGGUUCCCAAGAAUAACGGAAAUGGAAAGUGGGAAGCUUCCACUAAAGGAGAAGACGACACAUAGAAAGAGGAAGGUUGUUGUACGCAGUGGAGCUGCAUCUUCUGACGUGUCGUAGCUAUCGUCAUCGACGGCUAUCACGCAUUAUGUAUCACUUCUGCUUUGGCGGUAUCAUUUAGCAUCCGUGGUAAUCUGUAGAAUGUAAGUUCCGUCAAACUACCACCAAGCAAAUUACACAUGCUACCCUCAAGGUAAACCAACUUGCCCUCUUUAGCCUCCUCGUAGCCUCGAUGAGUUCCAUUUCCCUAUUGCAUGCGGAUGCUGGUAAGCAUCACACAUCAUAACUACAAAAGCUUUCUAUGAAACCUAAUUCACCGGCGCCACGUUCUUGCACUAGUUGAAUAUUUCAUAUUAAGAUCGCAAGAUAUACAUUGGCUUGGAGGGAUUCACAUAUUAAACGGCUAGGCAAUGCAAUCUAAUUACAUUAUAAAAAAAUGUGACCAAACAUUAUCGUAAGUUAACCGUCAUGAUCAGAUUUGGCCUAGACGCGCCCCCUCCCCGAGGGUUUCUGAGCCGCCGCUGCCGUCGCAACCUCCCUCACCUCCACCACCGCUGGUCCCCCUCCCUUCCCACCUCCGUCAUCUCGCCAGAGGUCGGAGGGAGUGGGGAUCCAUCUCUCUAAUAGUUUUCUUAGUAGAUCGAGUUCAGUUUAGGGUUUAGGUUUCUCCAUGCUGAAUUUCUCGAUAUUGAAGAUUUGUUACCUCCUUCUCCUUUCCGUCAACGGCGAGGAGGUAGGGUGGAUUUGGUCUCUCCAUAGCGACUCCGAUGAAGAUGAUGGCGGCAACUACGACGUCACCAACUUCCUUGGCAUGACGACAUGGAGAAUUAGGUUUCUGGAUGGCGACAUCAAGGCGGGGAUGAUGUUACCAUUGUGGAAUAAUUUUCUCAGCCCCUUCUCCGUUUUCUUAUGGUUAGACCUAGCCACGAUGAAGGACUUGUGAGAAUAAAUCUGCUCCUCGAGCCGAUUAUAUUUGGUUUUGAGUUGGGAAGAUCAGGUGGUUUUCCUUAUUCUUCGGUGGCAGAAGGAAAAAUAAGGAAGACACAAGAAAAAAAAAGA